This 51198-nucleotide long non-coding RNA is filed under the name Fragaria vesca (wild strawberry). RNAcentral describes it as "long non-coding RNA (FVES_LNC001100)". The record is from RNAcentral. Lineage: Eukaryota; Viridiplantae; Streptophyta; Magnoliopsida; Rosales; Rosaceae.
CAUUUCAGCGCCAAGAACAAAGAUUGCUGAAAUGUAACCAUACAUUUCAGUAACUCAGAUAUGGCGUCUUCUCUGGUAGAACAAUAGUUUGCAUUGAGUUCUGGAAUAACUAGCUAGAUGAUACUAAUUAGAAGUUGAGAUUAUUUUCAGUAGUGCUCCAUAAUCUUGAAAAAACUAAAACUGUUAUUUUAAGACAACAACCACGAGAUUUGAAAGACAGACCUAAACAAACUCCUAUAAAUGUAGAUAUGACAGACACUAGGAUAGUCAGAGAUUUCCUUAAACUAACUGAAUAUGUAGGAAAUCCUUAUUAUCAGCAAACACUAAAAAGCCAAUUAACACUAGGAGUUGGACUUGGUUUUUACCCUUGUUAGCUUACACAGACUCCUUGAGCUGCACUUGAGUCUGAUGCUGAGCACCAUACCCUUGCUCCAAGUCAACAAACUCAUCAUCUUCCUUAGGACCGAAUAACGAAGCGCCAGAAUGCUUGCCUCCAAACUCUUCUGCCUUGUAACUUUGAGUGAAAUUGGUUGAAUAUCCACCAAGUUGAUCUGCUUGCAUUUUGUUUUCGAAUUCGCUUGAUACAUUCGUCUGUGUCUUGCUCAGCGACACAACCACCCCAACCUCGGGCUUUUUCUGAUCCAUAUCUUGUGAUAUUUCGAGCUACAGUAGUGUUUAAGAUUGAGAUGGUUGUUUUGUGAUAUGGAGAUGCAGCUAUUUAUAAGGUCUUUCCUCACUGUUUUUGUUAUAGGCCGGGCAGUAACGAAUCCUUCAGUGUUCAAAGCUGCACAAAUAAGGUGUGAUACAGACCUAACACUACUACACAGACAAUGUAUGAAGCAGAAAGCAUAAAUUUGAUUAGAACUCUAAAAGUACUUACUGGGUGCAGGGUGAAAAAAAAAAAAAAAACGUUUGUUUUGUGUUUGGAUAUAUAUUUCUCUCUAGUUCUGAAAACUCUUUCAAAAUAUACGAGCGUAACGUCUAAACUGUGUCAGUAACCUUUUCUUCCUUACCUUCAUUAUCAAUUCAACAAUAAAUAUAAACAACACAUUUAACACGCUCGAUACACGAAUCCGUCUGAGAAUUCAAUAAAGUGGAAACGAGCGGUGAACCCACAAAUAAGUAAGCGUAGGAAUUCUCUUUUCAAUUUCAUUCCAUGUAAGUAAACCUGCUAUUUUAAAAAAAAAAUCUUUUUAUUAAUAACUCACACACCCUACAUAUGUUAAUUAGGUUUAAACUCAUGACUUCAAAGUUGUCACUUAAACACCUUGACCUAACUCGUUCCGUCUAAUUUCCUGCCCGUGAGUAUAUGCCACGUGGCUAUACAUAGUAGCAAUUAUACACCCAAACACACGACACUCCUACUCCAACAUCCCUUCAGCCUCGUCCUACUCUCACAGUCGCCGAUCCCUGAAACCCAUGGCCUCAUUCGCCGCCAGGUCCAUGCUCCGCUCCGCCGCCGCCAGAACCACCACUCUGGGUUCCCGGGUCGCCUCCGCUGCCCGACCCAAACCCGCCGCCGCACCAUUCAGCAUCCCCAAGCAAAACAACAACCCCAUCUCUCACGCCCUUUUCAGGUACAUCUAAAACCCUAAACCCUGAUUCUGUUUCUGUUAUGAUUCUUCAUUUUCAGUUUCAACAUUAUUGAAAAAAUCUUGUUUGGAUUGAGCUUGUGAAGGUCGCCUGUGGAGUUGAGCUGCUGCGUGGAGUCGUUACUUCCCUACCACUCUGCCACAGCCUCUGCAUUGCUCACUUCCAUGCUCUCCGUCUCGCAACGCUCUUACGGUUGGACCCCUCAAGGUAUUCCCUCUUUUGCAUUUGACUAAAUUCGAAUAAUUGUGGUUGGUAUUUGCUGAAAUGUGUUGUUUGUGGCAUUGAAAUUGGAAAAUGCUGAGGUAGUAAUGUAGUGUACAUGCUGUGUAAUGAGUUCAUUUACUUGCGUCAUGUUCAAUCUCGUUUCGUUUUGUGUACAUUUGUGAAUUGUAGACUAGAAAGACAAGUAAUACACAUAAAAGAAUUAUCUGGUUAAUGAUUGAUUUCAUGGUCUGAGUGUUGAUUUGGUCUUAGUUGCAGAGUGAAAUAGGCUUUUCCUUUAGCAAUUCCAUUCUUUUUAUUUAGUCUUUUUAUGUUUUUCUUUGUUUAGCCUCCGAUGAUCAUCUUCGAGCAUUUUGACAGCCAGGUGGCUAGGCCUCUAUAAAAGAUUAAAAAACCUCCCUGAAUUAGACUGAUCAAGAAUGCACCUUUUAGCAUUACUUUGGUCGACAUUUUGAUUACAUAAAGUUUUGCAUUAGGCGCAACAGAAACAGGAAACUUACUUGCACAAGAUUAUAACUUUUGCCUACAAUCUAGGUGGCCUAAUUGUUUCUCCUUUAAAUGGUGUUUUGUUUUUCUUUUUCUGAGGAAGGGGGGGGGGGGGGGGGUGAUGAUGACCGGAAGUUUUGAAUGUGUGAGACCAUCUUUUUGCCUACUUUUUCGAAAUUCAUUCUUUUCAUUGGGUGGUCCCAUCUUUCUGUAUUUCUACUGUCUUGCACAAUGAAAGAAUGCAUGUGCUUUGUCUUCUGUAGGGAAAGACAAGACUAGAUGAGGAUCAAGCAUCAAAUAUGGAGUGAUUUGGAUAUGUUUUUGUUGUCAACUUUUGAGAGUGUUAAUUGGUAACUGUUCUCCAGUAGACUAGAUGAGAAGACCCUCAACUUAAAAUUAUGUGGACAUUUGAUAGGAUGAGCUCUCUAUGUUUGAUAACAAUAAAAUUUUAAGAAUUUGUUUUCUGUAUCACCUAAACCAAUUGUUUAUUUUGUGUUUUUUGUUUGGUUGACAUAGUUGUGUUUACAUUCAGUAUAUUGUUUGAACUUUUAUCUGUAACUCAAGUAGUAGACAUUAUCAUGCAGAGUUUUGAGUUUAUGUGUAAAAGUAAAUUUCAGAUUUGUGUAGCUAUGUAAGUUGUAUUUCAUUACUAUGAUAUGUGCUAUUUUCUGCUGAUAUGAAGACUGAAACUUUGAAUGGAAUUGUAGAAGGGUAGUCCAAUGUGGAAAUCCUAGCUGUAUUUUUUUUAUUGUCUUUGUUAUUCAUGUCAGUAUAAUCAUAUAGAGAUAGUAAUAAUAAUAACAAUAACAAUACUAAUUUGUUGUAUUCACUCAGCUUGCAAUGAUGAUGUGUGAUGAAUAUCAGAGGGUUCGAGCAUUAUGUAAUUGCGCUCUAAGACAAGGUGGUAAAAUACAGCUUUCUACUAGGGUUUUGUUAGAUGAUUCUGUGAGUCUCUAUAGCUGGACAAGGUGGAAAAGAUAAUCUGUCUGUAGUAGUAUGAUGAUGAUGACAUGUAUUGCACUUAUGUACAAUUUGGGUUCACAUUAACAGAUAGUUCUUCAUUGCAUUCUCUGAUGAAAUAAUUUGAUUGUUUUCUGCACUCACGUCUAGAGGGUUGCUUCCUUAAUGUGGGAUUUCCUCUAAUUACUUCACAGGGUAGUUGAGUGAUUGUACUUUAUGGUCGUAGAAUAAUUUUGGUACAUGCCAAUACAGUAAUUAUUUUCAAGAUGAGAACAUCGAAAGGAUAAUGGUAUUACAUUGCCAAAAAAAGAAGGAUAAUGGUAUUAGUUGAUGGUAUUUUUGACUGUUAUUAGUUAAUGGUAUUCUUCCUGGUGCUGCCACCUUCUCCUUUUAAAUCUUUCCUGAGCUCCCUUUGACUUCCACUGUUUCUUUGUUUAGGCAAUGAUGAUUCCUAAUCAGCAGACUUCAGAGUUUGGCAUAAUGGACACUUGUUUUACCGUUUUGAAAUCAAUAUGGUUCCAGUUACUGGAGAUCGGGCUAUAAUCUCAACUUAUGUGUUCGGCUUGCCCACUAAUAUUUCCCGAUUCAUUCUCAGUGAUUUCAUCUGAAUGAUCGGAAUCAAGCUGUUUAUUCGUUAAUUCCUUUGGUCUAUCUUAGGAUUUCUACAUUGAACCGAAAAUGUACAUGUGAAGGAGAUGGAACAAUGAAAUGAGAUGACCAAAUUUAAGAUAAUGCUUCGAGUUUUCAACUAAGAACCUCAAAAUUAUAGGUGUGUAAUGUGUAAGGCUUUAAGCGGUGGCAGUAACCUUGUAUGGUUUUUCAUCAUAUAGAUUUUACAGUCAAUACGAAAACAGUUAAUGUGCCCAACAUGUGAUUUCACUCAAAAGUUCGAUAAUGUAGAAAUAAGAGAGAACGUACAAAACUUACCAAAUUUAAGACAUUGCUUUGAACAAGGAUGUUCAAGUUGUAAGUGGGUAACGCAUGAGCAGUGUCAAUAACCUCAUAUAGGUUUUCAUCAUAUCGAUUGUAAAAGCACCGCGUGAAUUCGCCUAAAAAUCUGUUAAAGUGGAAACGAGCAGUGAACCUAUAAAACUUACUAAAUUUAAGGUACUAAACUCUUUCAAAUUGUAUGCACGUAACGUUUAAACCGUGUUAGUAACCACUCUCACUUUUUCAUCAUAUCGAUUCAACAAUCAAUAUAAACACAUUUAUUACGCUCGAUACGCGAAUCCGCCCGAGAAUCCGAUAGAGUGGAAACGAACGGUGAACCCACAAAACUUUACCAUAAUUCAAGGUCCAAAUUUAUUUACGUAUGGAAUAAAAAUAAUCGAAUCCCAUUCCACACGUCAUAAAUACAUGGAUUCGGGUCACACACACCCACCCAAAGAGGCCUAAACCCGAAACUAUAACGAGUAGUGGAAAUGGUACACAACCGGUUCAGAGCGCCGGGUUAGGUCGGUUGGCGAAUUGACAGUUAAAAAACCUCAGUCUCCCUCCCUCCCUCUCUGUACGGAAGUCGUUAGGGCUUUAUGGGAUCUCUCUCUUUCUCCGCCGAUUAGGGUUUUAGAUUCCCCAUUUCUCAAAAUUGGGGCUUUUUUCGUUCCUUCAAAUUUCUGCGCUUUCUUCUCCGAUUCCAUUUCCGGCGAGUUCACGGAUUGCUUCACCGGAAAAAAGGUACGGACUUUGAGGCUGGUUUGAUUCUGGGUAGGGUAAUUGCGUUUUGGGUUUCUGGGAAUUGGAAAUGAAAGAUUCGAGUGGAGUUGAGGCCUUGUGUGAUUGAAAAGAUUGGUCAUUUUUCAAGUGAUUGAGUCAAGUUUGUGUUUUUUUGUUGUUGUUUUGUGUGAGAUUUUUAGGGUUUGUGUUUUUGAUGUGGUGAUCAUGCAGGGAUGACAGAGAUUGAUGUAGAGCUGUGCAUGGAGGAGUUUGUGGCGAAAGUCGAGGUGGAGGAUCAGGAGAAGCUGGAGCUGGAGUAUGGUGUUGAAAUCGCACCAGAGGCCGUGGUGUAUGCGUGUCGAAUCAUUAGGCAGUACCCUGAUGGUUAGUUUUAUUCGUAUUAGGAUCAUUUCUGCUGUCAUAGUCGUGAUGUAUUGUUGAUUUUGGUGGAUGGUGUUGUGUUUAGUGAGAGAGUUUUGAUAAUGUGUGUUUGUUUUUGUUGGUCUGUAGCUUUUCAGUUUAAUUUUAGAGGAACACUGGAUGAUAGCCAGAGGGCGAUUUUGCAAAUAAAGGUAGUGGAGCUUUUGGAUGAGGCUUGUUUAAGAUUGAGGCAGAGGUUUGACUACUCGAGAGAAGGAGAGGAUGAACUAGAGGUUGGGGAGUACAGGCUGCAUCGUGCACUUGUUGAGUUGGGUGAGAUUGAAAAAGAAAGAGAGCCAUCCACCCAAAAGUGGAGGGAUCGUGUAAGCUGCAUAUUCCUUAUCAACAUUAGUAUUUUUCUUCAUCUAGUCUUUCUGAGUUUUGAGUAUGCGUGUCUGAAUAAUAUCAUUAAUAUGUAAUAUGAGGUUGGUUUUGAUUCAGGUGGCCAAGGAACGUGAAGAACUAAACGAUGUUUGGAACACGUUGGAGAUUAAGUGGUUGGAAUUACAAGCUUCGCGGCAGAGAUAUGACAUCAGAGCUCGCGAGGCACUUUUGCUGGAAAGGAUGCGCGAAGGGCUGGUUUACUAUUUAAAUGAGGAAAGAACAAAGGAAAAUUUCUCCUGGAUAUUGCAAUGGCUUGAUGAACAUGUGACUGAGCUUUUAUAUACAACUCGCAAAGAUUUUAAGCAUGAGCUGACAGUUAGCUCACAUGUUAUCGCAGUGGUAGAUAUAUCUAUAUCUUUUACUUUACUCCCAUCUUUCUUGCUAGAAUUUUGCUUCUGGUGCUGGCUAGAACACAAUAAUCCAUGCCGAUCAUGUUCUUUACAUACUGAUAAAAUAAAAAACUGGUUGACUUUUCUUUUUGUUCUUAAUGGUUUUUAUAUUAAUGGUCAUGUAGGCAGCAAGCUUGUUCAUUGAUGCUCCACCACCACAGUUGCUUUCCGAUUCACUACUUCAGAACCCUGAAUCAAUUAGGAGGGUAAUUGGACAAGAUCAUGUUCUACUUGCAGUCAGUGCUGCUUUAUCGAGGCAGAGGCCUCCACGACGCCCUAUUGGAUCCUUCAUCUUCAUGUGUGGAUCUGGUUGUGGAAGGACAGAAUUUGCCAAACUUCUGGCCACUCUUGUCUUUGGUAAGAAAGACAUGCUAACUGAGUUUGAUCUAGAAAAGUACACAGGACCGAAUUCUGUAUCACGCCUACGUGGUGUUCUCUGUAGGUAAGUUCUCGAGUGAAUGGUGUGUUAUAUAUUUCUUUUUCAAGCUGAAAUCCCGUACUUUAAUUGUACUUCAUUUUUCUGUCUUGUUCCAGUAGCCAGAUUGAGCCAGGCAAGAAGGGAGAGCUAGGUGUUAAGAAGAGGCAUAUAGGUGUAGUUUUGUUUGACAAUGUUGACAAGGCUCCUGGGACUAUUAUUGACCUUUUGACCCAGAUUAUAGGCUUUGGUCAUCUAGUAGAUGGUAAUGGGAAUACCGUUGACUUCACUAAUACGAUGAUCAUCAUGACAACAAAUAUUGGAUGUGAUCAAUUGUGGCCUUGGAAUUGCAAAUGUGCUGAUGAAGUUCAAAAGUUUCCUGUCAAAGAAGGAUUAUUUGAUGAUGCAUGGGAAAGAAAUCAUAAUUCCUGCUACCUAUCACUUCUGAGGGAGGUAAGAGAGAAGAUUGAUUGAUAUUAUUUGGUUUAUCAGCUGUUAUUAUCAGAUUACCCUACUCACCUGUGCAUCUUCUCUUUUGCAGACAAAAAAUCAUUUUGGACCUCAAUUUCUUGAAUACGUAGAUGAUGUGAUUGGAUUUAGGUCUCUUUCCUCUCAACAGUUGAAGGCUGUUGCUAGGCUCCAGCUGCGGGACCUUGCCUUGUGCAUAAUCCAGAAAGGCAUCAUCAUUUACUCCUCUGAAGCUGCAUUGGAUGUUAUUGUGCGGAGAUCAACUUGGCCCGGAGAUCGAAUAGUAAGUCUUGUAUGAAUUACAAUAUUUUUUUAUUGAAAUUAUAAAGAACAUAUAUUUGGAAAAAAAAAAAAAGGAGAAACAAUACCUUUACAUGUUAGAAAACAAUACAUCAUAUGCCUUAAGCAGAUUCAUAGCACAUUUAGCAUCAAGAUAGAGAUCCCUACCUUGGAUAUAAUAUAUGCUUGUAACCUUACCGGUUUACUCUUUUCCCCUUUACUACCAAAUACAAAUUUUCACCAUCAUUUAUCAUGAUCACCUGGAGUAGAUUUUUCACCCUAAGUUAGAUAGGAUGCAUAAUAUCGAGAUUACACUUUUCUUGAUCCUUCUUCAGAAAUGUCUUAUUGUAUAAGUGACGCAUAUACAUUUUGGAGAGCUCGGUGAGCCUGAUUAAAAAAUUAUUUUUCUACAGAAUUCGAUAAGGAAUAUAUGAAAAUAUGUUUGAAUUCCCCUUCCGGUUAUUAUAAUCACUGAAUAACAUUAUAAGAAUUGAUGAUCAUAAGAAAACUCACUGAUGAUUACUGUCCUUUGGUAGACAAAAUUUUUGAUUGCUUUUAAUACUUUACCAGAAAGGUGGAGAGAAAAUAAGGAUGUGGCUGGAACAGAACUUGGUCCCUGUGCUCUUUGAGAUGAUUUCAAAGAAUGAGAUAUCUGAUUUAUCGAUCAUGUAUAUCGAAGCGUCAGUGCAGACGGAUCAACUAUCUUUCAGAAUGGAAAAGACUGGACGUCUAUUGGAAGAACGAGACGUUAAUCAGUUAGCCUCUUUAAAGGAAUUGAGGUUAAUGUAUCAGAAAGAGAAAGAAAGAGCAAAGAGAAUCUACAUGCUGAGAAAAUUUCAGAACAAAUUGUUGGCUAGUGCAAAUGCUGGGUUUGAUCAUGUUACGCAUGUUAUUCAAGAUCUGGUCAAUUUAAUUCAGGAUCUCAUUACAAUUCCUGGUAGCAUCAUCAGGUCCUUCCUGGAUAAUCCUAAAAAGGUAUAGAAUUUUGUUUUCACUAACAUUUAGUUUUUCCUGAAUGAUGGGGAUUGGUGUGUGUGUGUGUGUGUGGGUGGGUAAUACUUAGGUAAAUUUUUAUAUAUGAUACUUAUAUAUGGUUCUUAACUGUUUUCAGGUGGCAAUGGCAGCCUUGAACGAGGAUGAGGUUAGGCAGAACAAGAGGGCGAAAAGAGGGACCAAGUGACGAUCGAGGUGAAAUAGUGUAAGCAGAAGAUAGGCCUAUGAUCUUUAUUAGCCUAAUGGAGUACAAGUAGUCUAACUGCUUGUUUUUGCACCAUUAUUUGUAAAGACGACAUAGGUUUUAUUACAUCCUAUUGCUCAAAGGGACUUGGCAGAGCCUCAACUGCCGGAUUGAGGUGCCAAGUCGAUGUAAAUUAAGGCUUCAGACUAACCGGAAAGUCUUUUUUUUUUUUUCCCUAACUUGUAUACAACAAGGGAUUUAUAUUAUGGAUUUUCACAGUUGCAUAACUGAGGACAGUAGAUUUUAGCUGUAGUGUAAAGUGUAAACCCCAUCGUAUAUUUGCUCCAGAGCUUUCAUGUUGUGAAAGCAUUAGAACGGUAUGCAAUGCAACUUGUAAUGAGAUGAAUUAGGUGCUCACUCUUGAUCGUAUGGCAAAACCGAGUGCUGGGUAAUAGUAUCGAAGCACCAGAACCGCCGUGAAGCCCUUAUCAAUUACCGAACCCUAAAUGAACUAUAGCUAAAUUCACCACCGUACUGCCUAUGCUGUUGAUCUGUGGGUUUUGUUUUUUGUUUUCUUGUUUCACAAUCAUAAUCACUCCCCCUCAAAUUCCCAUUCUACCCCUCACGACAAACCCACCACAGCCGUCAUUACCCCAAAUCGGAUGGGCGAAUCCGUAACUCCACCCGGUUAAUAAUUAAGAAAAUAUAAAUAUAAACAAGUUGAUGAUGACGACGAGGGAGUGUGUAAGUUGCAUAGGUAAAAAUAAAGAAAAGAAAGAAGAAAGGCGCCCCAAUCUGCUUCUUCUCCAAUUCGAGUUUGGGGUCUCUGCAACCUAAUUCAUCCCACCUUCAAAUUCCACAGAGACCCUUUUCGCCUUUGCAUCCCUCACUUCGGUUUCGGGUUCUAAUUUCUUUUUUAAUGAAUCAGAUUUCUAUCUUCUUUUUUGUCUCUUCAAAUAGUUUAACUUUAUUUUUAAUAAUAAAAUAAACAUGUAUCGAUAGAUUAAAGAGGGUGGGUAUUUUGGUGAGCAAAUAAAGUUGGUCGACUAAUUUGUAUCCAUGAUGUAAACUUCAUAUCCACUUACGAACAGGAAAGUAUUCCAUUCCUGUUCAAAAUCUGCUUUAACAAACAGAGGGUAAGGUUAAAGGAUUUCAUUUAAAAUCCAAUCUUAUACCAAUCAAAUCCAAUUCCGUAUCCUAUCACGGUCCAGUCCGUGUUCCCAAACGUGGCCAAUAUCUUUUAAUAAUUGAUUGUCUCAAGAUUUCAAUAGAUUGAUUAUAAUCUCCUUAAUUAAAUUACCCAAACUUUCUAAAUUCUAGGGCAUCUAGGUAUUUAAAUUCUAGUAGCAUUCCAUGACCUAAAUUCUAGGCCGUGAACCUUCUUCUCAUAUAUGUUCAUCCAUCGAUCUGCUGCUUGCCGCCGACGAACUGGUAAGCAUUAGAUGAGAAUCACCAACUAUAUUUGAUGCUCUUGGUAAAGGUCAGCGUAAAUGAUAUACUUCACAUGAAAGUUCCUUAUAAAAAAAAAAAAACGACUCAAAUUGUUCAACUGAUUCGACUGAUUCUCAACCGAGAAAGAAGACAGCAGUGCAUGUGAGCCCUCUCCUCCGCCUCUCGUUUCGAUUCAUUCCAAUUGUAUUCGUUUAUUUGCUUUUGUCUGGUCAUAGAAUUUCAGUUUUUGGUUCGUGAUCGUCUCUUUGCAGAUCUGAAGAUCUAUCAUCUACCUUUUGUUGUUUGAUUUGUUGUAUUGCAUGUAGAGAGGAAUACUUUGUUGUUAUAUUGUUGCUCAAUAAAUGGACCGAGUACAAUAGCAAGGUUUGCAGUACGUAGUAGAUAGCAGAAUCUCAGGGUUCUGGUUCCUCUGUAUCUGUGAUGAGCAAAGAGAUAAUAUCAGUAACAAAGAUACUAUACUAUACUAUGUACGUAAAAGAAGAAGAUGGCUUACCGAAAUCACGUCUAAAUAUUGGGACUAUGGCUUUAUGUCUUUAUAAUCUAACUCAAAUUUGGAACUACUAUUGAAAUAUUAGCCUAGGUAAAGAUCACUGAGUUUAUAAUCCAACUACACGUAAAAUAUUAUGCCUGACUUGGAACCAACCUCUUCUUCUGGUUUAGUAUGUCUGUCCUAGUUUUACAGGUCUUUCAUUUUUUCUUUUACAAUACGCAAAUGCAUGAAGCCAAAAUGGAAGUACAUAGACAGAUGAGUAGCUAGUUAGAAACUAAUGCAUUACCAAAUGUUGAAAUUGUUUGUUUGUGAGUACUUUUCAACAUAUAUAUAGCAAUAAUAGAUGCCAAAUGUUUAAAUUCAAGUCUUCUUUCAAAGUAGUGAAAUAAGAUCAUCAAUAUAUACUAUGAAUUUGACUCAUUUGAAUUGAGCAUAUAUGUUGAAUCAGGAUCAGGCUAGGGCUCUCAUGCAACUUUGACCAUGUCGGUUACUGAGGCUCCAAGGGAAGUCAGCUACUUCAAGCUCCUGCCUGUACUAUAUGAAAUCCUCCGUACUUGGGAUUUGGAAAAGGCUACCGCCGCAAGUGUUCGCCGGCAUCUGGAGAAGGAUUAUGGGGCUGAUCUAUCGGACCCAAGUCGUCGUGUCACUCGUAUGAUUAAAGAAAAAAUCAACAUGUUUUUUGAGGAAGAGGAGGAAGAUGAUGAGAGUGAAGGUAAAGGAAUAAGAAGAAGAAAGAGAAAGAGAGAGACGUCGGAGAUGUGUAAAGUGUGUCCAAAGCUUCAAGAAAUUGUUGGAGAGGGUCCUGAAAUGGCCCGAGCCAAGGUGGUGAAGAAAGUUGUGGUUUAUGGCCGGGAAAAGGGUUUGCAUAGAAAUUGUUUCAUAGUUAAAGAUGAUAAACUAAAGGCCCUUUUUCCUGGCGAACAUUCCAUUCCUGUACUUCAAAUCGAUAACCUCCUGUCCAAGAACGGUCAUAUGCAGCCGAUUAAAGGUAUGCUCUUUUCUUAUGUGCUUGCAUUCUGGUGAUCACAUAAAUAAUUUGAUCUGCUCAAAAAUGUUAUGAAUGCUGAGGUAUAUAAUGAGGAAAAGUCAUAAUCUUGUUGAUGAUCCUGCAGUUAUGAAGAGGAGGAGGGCGAGGAACAAAAUCAAGACUUGUGAAUGUGAUCAAAGUCAGAAGAAGGAUAUGCAACAGAAACAUAGCCUGCUAGCAGAAGAAGACAUAAGAUCAUGGGAUGCAUUGCCACACGAUAUUCUGGUGAAGAUCAUUGAUCACCGUUGCGGUCCACUUAAGUACUGGGCAGGUUAUUCACCAGCUUUGUCCCCCAACUAUGCGUCCGUCAGCCACUCAUGGAAAUUGGCAGUCCUUGAGCUAGUGAUUCCACCUAAUAAUGAUGUGCUUGAUCUGCGAGUCCUCGAUUCACAUCCCUGGAAAACCCGUCCUAGGAGGUUCAUUUAUUACCUCAGGAUUGCCUUCAAAUGCCGACCUGCUACUUGGACAACACUUCACUUUCCCGAUAAGGCUAUAUUUGUUGAACGUCCCUAUCUUCAAGAUAACACUACAAUCAUCAAAAACGAUAUCCUCACUUUGAUAGCUGAGAAGUACGUUCUAGACUUCUAGUUUUUUCUCAAUUUAAGGUGAACGGUAAUAUCUAUUUCUGAGUUAUGUAUAGGCUUCACUAACGUUUAUGCAUGUGGAUGGACGUUGCAGGACACCAGAACUGAGGAAUCUCUUUCUACCAACAGAGCUGAGGGAUAAUAUAUUUAGCAAGUUGGCACCCAACUGGAAGAAUUUGAGAAAAGUACGUGUAUACCUAUCUGCGUAUAAUUUUAAUGUUCUCCAAUCAAAUUGCAAAUUUAUAGAGGAGCUCAGUGUGUAUGGAUGGAAGAUGGAUGAAAAUCUAGCAUCCAUGCUCCCCAAAUGGUUCCCAAAUCUCAAGUCUUUAGAGAUUCGUGGGUUUACAAUGUCGAACAGUGUCCAGAGAAUCAUAACGGACGGUCACAAGAAUCUUAAGCUACUUGAUACACAAGCGUACUUCUACCGUUUCGCUGAGACUCAUGUCGGAUCAAGUUCAGAACCAGAGAUGUCAGCUGGGACUAUCAAGCAGUAAUCGAAAGGCUCUUUUUAUGAUUUGUUUCACCCACAUCUAAUGUAUCAAACUCUAAACAUGUUUAUGAUUUGUUUUCAUAGGACGUCUUCGUUGACAGUGAUAGUCGCAUGACCGCAUUUUUGAUUUGAAGCUUUAUUGUGUGUUUGAUGAACAUGAAAGAUGAUGGCAUAUGAUCAAUGACCAUUGUUGUUAAUUCUAAGUUGUUCACAUUCCUCCGCAGUGCGUAUUGCAUCUGUUUGAACAGACAUCAGUACUCAUUGCUUAUAAACUUCGUCUUGAUCGAUGAAAAGAGCUGUCGGUACAACAAUUACACAUCGAUUUAAGGGUUUACCUCCUUAGCCACCGAAUAUGAAAAAUUAUCAAAUUUAUACUAUGUUUGCUUCUCAUAUAGGUAAACCGCUUAUGUGAGUUAUGUCCUAAUUAACUUUCGCUCCAAGUUAGUUAAAUAAAUAUGGCAAGAGAGGAAGUAUGAUAUAAAGAUUCUAAGCAAACACCACAAAGAAUUUAGUGAUUAAAAUUUGAAAGUACAUUAACAAGAAGAUUCAAUGCAAUCCAAAACAAUAGGAACUCUAGCUACCAGCUAAUUGAUUUGAUUGCCGUGAAUGUAAAGCUGGAAUCCUCUAUCCCUAAUGUCCUCUACGGCAGCAUUAUCCAAAUUCAAAUUGCAGGCGAUAAACAAGUAGGGUGGGAUCACCAUAGCGUCCUGCAUAGCUUGCAAAUCAAACUGAAUGUUUGUAUCCACCAAACAUAAAGUAGCAUGCGCUUGGUCAUAUGCGUCUUGUUGAUUAGCAACAACUUGCACCCUGUUAACAUGACGAGUAAAGCAACCCAUGAUCGCAUUCUCAUUCACCAAAGGAUCAAAAAUGCGAAGCGUUGCACCUUCCGUCAGAAGAGAUUUGCAUACCGCUAUUGCAGGUGAAUUUUUAAGAUCGGCUAUGUUGCUCUUAUAUGUAACACCAAAGUCUAUAGGCAUAGUUGAUUUUUCCACAAUAAUUUUCGACGCCUGAGAAGCUGUCAUUAUACUUCUUAUAGCUCUUUCCCAUUGGUCGAGGUCCAAUCUAGAUCUUGCUCCAAUACCACACCCUUUGGUGGUAUCUCGACGCCGAUAAAAAUCAUCUGUGCUUCAUUGAUAGAAUUUUCCACUUGAUCACUAAAGAACAAGUUUGCAUGAACGACUUGAUGUAGUAGAUGUUGAAAGCCUGGCUCUACAAAAUCAAUGUCCAAUUGCUCCCAACGUUGCACGAGAUCGACGUCGUAAUCAACUAUUGUGACCGUCACUUGAGGGUGUGCUGCGGCAAUUACCGCCAUGCUCAUAACACUAGCGUGUCGGGCGCCUAUACAACAAAUGUGAUUAAUUUCAUUCAAAUGUUCAGGAGGCCCAUUCUGAUUCGCCAUCACGUACAACUAGAAGGAAAUAAAUUUUGAAGAACAACACCUCUUCAACUCUGAAUUGCAAUGGCUAUGGUAGCUAUAUCGUUCUCGUUGCUCCUAUUUAUAGGGUCACAGUUAUGAUUAGUCCAGUCUACAAUAGGGAAUACCUUGAGGUUCACUUUAGGAAAGCCAUUAGAGAAAUCUUCCCAAAGCCUUGAGGAGUAUAUUGGAACCAAACAUAAACAAGGAAUACGCCCAAACCCCACGUCAAAGUAGGAACGAUACUAAAUCGCCUGCAAAGAUUCUCUAGCCAAAUUGAGAAAGUUUUGAUCUAGGAAAAGGGAAUUCGUAAUCGUUGUUGUUGUUUGCAUGGAAUAAGUAUGCAAAAUAAAACGGGAAAGAGACUUUGAGUAGGUAAUAGGUCGAUGUGUACAUGAACCGGAGUCUUUUACUCGAUCACAAUAGGCUUAAUUCUAAAGCAAACUAAGCAAGUAUGGAGAUCGUUUCCAAACAAAAAAACAAAAAAGUAUGGAGAUUAAACUAAAUUGAAAAAGCUAGGGAAUACCUUGAGGUUCACUUUAGGAAAUUAGAGAACUCUUCCCAAAGCCUUGAGGAGUAUAUUGGAACCAAACAUAAACAAGGAAUACGCCGAAACCCCACGUCAAAGUAGGAACGAUAUCAAAUCGCCUGCUGCUGUUGUGCAAAGAUUUUGAGGGGAAAGGGAAUCCGUAACCUUAGUUGUUGCUUGCAUGGAAAUCAUUAGUAUUCCUUCUAAGAUCAUACAAAAUCAAUAGUAUUAGUAUCUCAAAGAAAUAUGAAGUCUUUUUCCACAAAAUCUUGAUCAAGUAUAUCAUCAAGCACCAUGAAACAUUAUGAAUUCACUAAUAUAACUUCUGUAAUCUUAAGUAAACUAAACCACAAAACCUUUCUCACCAGACAUUCACUGUGGCAAGCCUUCUUCAACUUCACUCCACCUAUCUUGAUCCACAGUAAACUUCUCCUUCAUCUGGCCGAUAAGCCCCCGAGCCUCAGCCACCUUCCCAAUGCUCACAAGUCCAUCCACAAGCACCCUCAUAUUCUCAUAUUUCGGCAUCCAAUCCUUCCCAAUGCUCUCCUUAGCAAACCUCAACGCGCUCUCGAAAUCCCCUCCUAAACACAAGUAGUACACCAGCAUAUAGUAGCAGUUACAAUCCGGCUUCAACCCCCUCUCCACCAUAUCCCCAAACAUCUUCUUGACCUGCUCAUAAUUCCCCUCCUUGCUAAACCCCCGGAUCAAAUGUUUAAACGUUACCACAUUCGGCUUCAUACCCCUCCCCAGCAUCCCAUCCAAUAAUGCCGCUGCCUCCCCUGACUUCUUCAUCUUGCAAAGACUCUUUAUCCUCACAUUGUAGAUAUCCACCCCCGGCUGGAACCCGAACUUAACCAUCAAAUUAAUCACGUUUUCGAAAUCUUCCAGCCUCUCCUCGCGGUAAAAUCCCGCGAGGAGAUGCGCGAAUGUGUCCCCAUCCGGCUUGAUUUUCCUCAUUUCCAUCUCUUCCAGCACGGCGUAGGCAUUUUCGGUGGAGCCGGACUCCGAAAACGACCUGAUUAGGUGGUUGUAGGUGGUGAGAUUUGGCUCUAUUUCAUAAAUCUUGGGAAAUUCAGCGUAGAUUUGAGUGACUUGUUGAUAAUCCUGGGCGGAAAUCAAAGAUGAUAGAAGAGUGUUGAGGAGUUCGACGUCGUGGGGGAUACCGAGGUCGGAGGAGCAGCGGCGGAAGGUGCGGACGGCGUGGUGGGGCAUGCGGGCCUGGCCGUAGAGGAGGAUGGCGUGGGAGGCGGAACGGUGCGUUUUGAGGGAGAGGAGGAGAUCGUCGAGGAUGGAGGGGAUGAGGUCGGGGCGGGUGGAGUCGCGGAGGGAGGUGACGGCGCGUGAGAGGGUGAUGCGGUGGAGUUGGGAGUAGUCGGGGGUGAGGGAGGCGGAUUUGCAGAGGGAGACGAUUUUGUGGGGGUCUGUUUCGGUUUUGAGGAGGGCGAGGAGGGAGCGGGUUUGGUCUUUGGAGGUGGUGGUGGAGAGGCGGCGCGUGUGGAGGAGGAGGAGGGAGUGGCGGAGGCGGGAGAGGAGAGACAUCUUCAACAAACCCUAGCACACCUGAGGGCGGGAUGAGGUGGAGGGUUUCCUAGGGUUUCACAGUACGUGGAGAAGUAGCUGAAAAGGGACUGAGAUUUUGGGGUUAAAAAAUAAUAUAAUAAAAAGUUGGUGAAAAGCUAAAAAGAAAAAUCCGGGUUAGAUGGGAUUUGAACCCGACGUGAAUCGAACACGCAACCUUCUGAUCUGGAGUCAGACGCGCUACCAUUGCGCCACGGAUCCCCGGUUGCUAAGUUCGCAACUCUUAAAUUUAUUUAUACCUAUUGCAAGUUAUUUCACAUCCCCUCGUUACUCACAAACAAAAAUUUUAAGCAUAUAGAAGUUUGGUGCUUGUUUAUGCAUUCUUCAUCUCAUCAUCGACCAACGCAUCAAAUUAUCAAUGUAUUAAAGUGUUUUGAAAUGUCACUCAAUAACAUGUAUCUGUUAAAAAUACAUAUAUAACGCGUCGCUCACUCACGACGUUCUCGAAUACAUAUAGAAGUUUCUGACAUCUACAUUUCUUCUGAAUUCGACUCGAGUUUAUAAGCCUUAUGAACAAGAACAUUGUAUGUGUAACUAAUAGUACCAAAAAUAGUGACAAGUAGUCUUGUCACGAUGUCUAGCUAGCCGACUCACAUGGACAUGAUUGGUGUCUGGUUUUAUAUAAAGGAAUUCUUGAGUGUGACCAGCAUUAACAGCUAUAAUUUGGAAGCUUUGAUGGGCAGGUAGACGAUUAAGUUGGUACCGUGGCACUAUUCUGGUCUACAGCUAAUUAUCCUUUUCUUUUGUAUUUGCAACUAAUUAAAUUACAGUUAGAUAAAUCCUACUACACGUGGGGAAGUCCCAACUAAUAAACGAUCCACACAGAGUUUAGUUAAAUAUUAAAGCCAUCGAAAUCACACGACAAUACACUCCUUGUCAAUUAGGCAUUGAUUAGUGAAUAACCAAAUGUCAUUACAGAGAAUCACUAGCUUUGACUCAUAUGUACGUAUCAUUGUAUAUUAGGUGUGUUCUCAUUUCUAUGUGUUUUGUACAUGGUAUUGACUUGAGAAGCUUGACAUUCAGAUCCUAGAGGUUUAAUGUUGUUAACAAAAUAUGGUUGACGUCCUAGGAUCCUAAGUAACCAAUUUGGUUAUAUUCGUCCUCUUAUACGAUACGAUUUUGCUCACAUUUAACACGCGCACAAUAUCGCAUGUCGGGACAUGAUUCAGUACACAUUGCAUUGAGGAAUUGCCUUUGUAACUGCAUCACACAAAACAAUUUGUAACUGCAUCACCUAAUUCAUGAUUUUUUUUUUUGAAUAUUAGUAUUCAUGAAAUUUAGGUUAACAUGUUUGGUCAGCUCAUGAUAAUCUUAAUUCACGUAUAUAUCAACAUCAAUUGGAAAACUAGUGUACUAAUAAAAUUAGUUGGGAGGAAGAGGAACUAUCUUAUAUAUCUUACAUGUGGUGCGAGAAUGACUUGAUGUAUUAGGCAACUCUAUCUACUUUGUUUGUUUAACUAAUAUUCAAAAAAGCAUAAUUAAGAUGUUGAUGUCAAAGUCGUAAAAGGCAGUGUCUAAUGUCAAUUCGUGAUAGGCACACUUUGUUUUUAGAUACGUGUAUGGGCGUGUAGCCAAAUAGCCAAGUCCAAAUAAAGGGACAUGUCUUUUCCACAUUUUCAUAUACCUAUUUUUGCGAUGGAAAAAUAACAAAAUAAAAGUACUACACUAUAAGUUCAACAUACAAAUCCACUGGUGAAAAUUGCUCAAAUUGCUUCAAGUAUAAUGUUCUCCUCGCCAAUUGAGCUAAAAAUUACAAAUGCUAUAGCUAAAUAUUUUUUCUUCUUGGAAAUUUUUUAACAGUGGCUAAUAACAUUUUUUUAUCUAUAUAGAAUAAAGUGAACGGUAAGCUUAUUCUACAUAGAUAUAUAAGCAAUCAACGCUGUAUGGAAAAACUUAAAGAUAGCCCGAUAUAAUGUUACGACUCAUAAUUAUCUGGCCUUCCACAGGGUUGUGAAGAUGAGCUUAAAAGUUGGCUAAUGUUGUAUUGCUAGUUUUUCCUUUUUUUAGUCUUAAUAUUGCAUCUUCUCUAGUGAUUAAUAAAAUACGAUGAGUAGCUCGUCUAGCUCUUGCAAACUAAUUUUAGUGAUUGUGAGAAUUUUGAAAAAUGUGAUAAGAUUAGCUUAGUAUAUAUUUGUAACGUAAUAUCAAAAUUUAUUGUACAAAAAAAAAAAUCGAGGAAAAUAGUGAAGUCGACGAGCAUGGCAAGGUGUGAUGCCUCUCACUUUAGGAGAGAUAGUUGAUGAUUGGAUAAUUAAAAAUUGAAUAAGAGUUUUUGGCGCAAACUAACACCGCCAAACCGUCCUUGCCACGUAAUCCAAGCCAGAAGCUUCCCAUCACCUGCCUGUAAAAAUAGUGUAUGUGGAUCCCACACAGGGUAUAUUACAUCGCAUCUCCUCACCUGCGUCACGUGAUUCUCAUCACCACACCUUCCCUUAUAUUUUUUGUUUUUUUUCAAAAAAAAUUCAACAGGCAUGCUAAUAAUUUCCUGAUUUAGGCGCCCUGGUUAAAUUUAUUUGCCGCCUAAUGGCCUUCCUCUCAUCUCUUUUUCAUCCUUUUGGGUAAAUUAUUUUGGAACCCCUAGUAACAACUUCAAUUAUAAACAAACAAUCAGUAAAACACAACAAAUUAACUUUAAAAUAAUACUUUUCAUCAUUGGAUUUACAUUCAAUGGUGAUUGACCACGAUUUCUUUGGUCAGUAACUGAUCAGGUGAACCGUGAAUGCUAGUGCAUGAACAAAUGCUUACACUCAUUUUUGAUAUGAAGAAUUUUACCAUAUGAAAAUCUUAUACAUGAAAUUUGUACUUUAUACUAUUAUCUUUUUGGAAACGAAACUAUUAUCUAUAAAACACACAUACUUAAGCUAAUACUUUAAGUUAAACAGUAACUAACAUAAUUAUUUUAUUAAAUUAAUAUGUUUGUAUCGUCUUAAAAGAUAAGUAAUUUUGGACUGGUGUCAUGAUGUAAUUCAUGAAAAUAAGACAACUAACCAUCACAACUAGUCAAGUUGUUAAGAGUUUAUGUGCGAAACUCUCGUAUCUAAAUUUAAAUCCAGCCGAUACAGAUUUAAAUUUAAAUCUCAAUUUAUAGUUGCUGGCCAAAACACUUCCAGUCCUGUGUCUAAAAGGCUUUUGUUCUAUCAGAUAAUGACACUGACAGUAAGUGGAGAGAUAGUAACUUGUAAAACUCGUAACUAAUUAAUUAAAUGCAUAACUAACACAGCCACCUUUAAUUUCGUCCUAAAUCCCUUGUUCUCUCCCCUGAUUGGCCUAAACAGAAAGGACAAUUCAGUCAAAUUAGAUAUGUAGAAAAUCAAAGCCCAAUUUUACAACAACCACCGCUCCGUGCCAGCGACCAGCGUAGAAGCUUAGGUGAAAAUUGAGAGAGAGGACCAAGCUCUCACUCACUCGCUCUCUUUUUCUCUCUCUGAAAUCUUGGACCGUCUGGUAGUGGAGGUCCUCCUUUCUCUUCCCUCUCGCACAUUCUUGAAUUCAAUUACUGAGCUGUUUCUCUGUGAGGAGGACAGUUAGUUUCUUCGGCCGGUCUCCGCUUCUCUCAACGGUUUUGACCUUUUUUUUCACGGUGGAGCGGCUUCUCGGAGCUCGGAAAUGACGAGAAUGCCACCGCUGGUGCUGAGCUCGGCGCCGAUGGAGGUCGCGGCGUUGGUGCUUAGCUGGUGGGACGAUAUUAACGAGUCGACUCAGUGGCAGGACGGCAUCUUCUACUUCCUCUGCGCCGCCUACGCUCUCGUCUCCUCCGUCGCUCUGGUCUCACUCUCUUUCUCUGAUUUUGGCUAGGUUUUGUUUGUGAUUCGAUUUCGUUGCUUUGGUUUUUCUGUGGAUUUGAGUAGAGGUUUGGGAUCGGAGUUUCUGAUUUCGCAGUAGUCAAUUCUGUGUUGCAAUAGUAGUAGACUGUUGCAGAUUAGACUGAUUAGUUUGAUAGUUUGUGUGAUUCAAGUGGCGGCCGCUGUCAUUGUCAUUCUUGACGUGUAGAAUUGGUUAACUAGUUACUGUUAGGUGAUUGUGAAAUGAGUGAGUUGAAUUGAGAAUUUUGUGUUUUGUGAUGCGCAGUUUCAACUAAUAAGGAUUGAAUUGAGAGUGCCGGAAUACGGUUGGACUACGCAGAAGGUGUUCCAUCUUAUGAAUUUUAUUGUCAAUGGAGGUGAGAUAACGGCUGCAUUAGUGCCAUUAGGAGUCUGUUAUCAUGGUUUCUAUUUUUUGUUUUGCGGUUUUUUGUUUUGUAUUGUUGUAAUGUUGAGCUCUGAUCGGGUUCUUGCUGUUGCAGUGCGCGCAAUUGUGUUUGGAUUUCACACACAAGUGUUUCUAUUGCAACCCAGGGUUAGUCUUUUGUAGUUCAGUUAGUCCACAUCUUUUACCUACUCGUUUAAUUCUUUGCACUUGCGUAGGGUUUUAGGAUUAACAAACUGAUUAUUGUUGCAUACAUUUGUUGGCUACAAAAGUUGUUGUUGUCCAGUGCUAAUUUUAAAUAGGGGUUCAACAUUGAGGCUACAUUUGGUAUUUGAAAGAAAUAAGAACAUAAAAUGAAAGCAAUCAGUGUUAGAGUUAUAUGCUAAACUGCUGCAUGUUGAACCAGGUAUUAAUAUUGGUCUUGUUGGAUCUUCCUGGACUGCUGUUCUUCUCAACGUACACACUUCUUGUCCUCUUUUGGGCAGAGAUAUAUCACCAGGCAAGUGCCCUUUUUUCUUGCACGGUAUCCUUGAUGCUGGUAUUGAUUUCGUGUUAUCUGAAGGCCAAGACAUCAGUUCAACUAAUUUACUUAGAUAAAGAACUUAUGAAUGGGGUCAUUGUUCAUAAUCAAUUAGGGUUGCUGACUUUAUUUAAUCACUAUUACGAGCAGGCAAGAAGUUUACCAACAGAUAAGCUCAGGAUUGUUUAUAUUUCAGUCAAUGCUGGAAUGUACUUCGUACAGGUAUGCUCCAUCUUACCGCUUUUCAUGUACUGCAUAUGUUGCAUUCCCAUAUCAUCUGUUGGUCUAUUUUUGGGUUCUCCAUCUUAAGUGUUGGUUUGUAAUGUGUAUUCUCCACUUUCUUUGCAUGUUUCAUCAUGAGGUUGCUCUAGUGCCUGAGCUGUAACCACUACAUGUUGUAUCCCUCUAGUAUUGUCUAUAUAAACAUUAAUAGCAGCUAAUUAAUUUCUAACCGAAAAUCCUUAGGAAUUCCAUUUGCACACAUGUUUAAACAGAUUCUUUGCCACUAGUGACUUGCCAACAAAUUUUGGUUUGCUAAUCUCCUUGAUCUCAUUGUACUUUGACCCUUGUACUUAUUUGCUUCAUCUUUCAAAAGAAGGUUGAGAGAACAAGUUCUAAAACUGUUAAGAUAAUUUGGACUUCUACGUCAUAUUUUACCAAUUCUAUGGCUAGAUUACAUAGAAAGGAAAUGAGGAUCAUUCUGGUUUUCCUAAUAAAUAUACAAUUCUAGUGCUCUGCAAGCUGUCUGGGUCUUGGCAAAUGCUUGUUUAAGAAUCUACUAUUGGAAGUAGUUCUUGCUUACCUCCUUGAUGAAUGGCGAAGGUUACAUUCAACUCCUUGCAGACAGAUGUCAACUUAGAUCCUGAUAGUGUGGUUGAGGGUUCCUAGUUUAAAAACAGUACAGGGUGUGAUUUAGUUGUUAGGACUUCAAAGAUUUGAUGUACCUUAUGAUAAAUGCGGAUUUCUCUUCAGAUUUGCCUCUGGAUAUACCUCUGGUUUGAUGACAACAGCGUUGUGGAGUUCAUUGGAAAGAUAUUUAUUGCAGGUAAGGACUGUUUCGAGUCCUGAUAGUUUUUGGUCUCCUAUUCUCGUCUCUCAUUUUUUCAUGCACACUGAAUUAUAUUGUACCUUUUUGUUCCAGCUGUUUCAUUUGUGGCUGCACUAGGUUUCUUAGUCUAUGGAGGAAGGUGAGCGUUCUGCAUUAUACAGUACUUUCAGCAUCUUGAAUAUGUCCAUUCCUUUCUGCUCUUAUAUUGCCAUGGAAUUGUAUUGGUGGAUGAUUAUAGACCAUGCCUUCAGGUUAUUUUUCAUGCUGAGACGUUUCCCAAUUGAAUCUAAAGGGAGAAGGAAGAAACUUCAUGAGGUUUGUACCUUGCCUGUCCAAGUAGAACACCUGAUUGCUAGACCCAGCUUGUUAAGAAUUUCAUGUACAUAUUUUUAGUUUGUAGUUUUCGUGUACAUCGACUGUCAGGGUCAUGGAGUACAAACGAUUAAGAUAAAGCCAAACAACAGUUCUUUUUAGACUAGUUCUACUGGCUAACAAAUGGGUUUUAAUUGCAGGUUGGAUCUGUUACAGCCAUAUGUUUCACCUGCUUUCUCAUAAGAUGCUUUGUGGUAAGGCUUAAUCUUAGUCUCUCGAAUUUAGUCUUUUCAAAAUAUUUAUCUGCAUUGAGAUAUAAUCUCAAAAGUAUAAAUUCAAAAUAUAUACAUCAUUUCCAUUCUUUCAUCAGAUGUAUUAAUUCUAUCGUUUCAAUGCAGGAUGUGUUGUCCGCUGUCGAUGAAGAUGCAACACUUGAUGUUUUGGAUCAUCCUAUUUUGAAUGUGAUAUACUACAUGGUAGCCUACCAAGCUUUUUUACUUUCAAGCUGAUUUUCUUGUCUAUUCUUUAACUUAUUUGGUUUUCCCCCUUCAAAAUUUUAACUUUGUCCUCUGCAGCUGGUUGAGAUCCUGCCCUCAGCCUUGGUCCUCUAUAUCUUGCGCAAAUUGCCUCCCAAGAGGGUAUCAGCUCAGUAUCAUCCAAUACGUUAGCUCAGCUCAGUAUCUACAUUCUUUGUGGUUUUUUUGGCCCCGUUAUUAUUCUUUAUGGAUUGGAGGUUUGAUGCUAAGAAAAAUGAGCAAGAUGAGGAAAGCCAGAUAAAACAAUCCAGAUGUAGUAUUCUGGUGCUGCCGGCAUAUUUUUUGUUUAGAUGUAUGUAUAUUACACAGCUCUCUGCAGCUUUGCCAAGGAAGACUGUUCAAUUUAAAUCCAUGGUGAUUUUGACAGUUACAGGUUCUCUGAUCAUGUUUCAAAAGGAAAAUGUUCAUGUAAUUUAAUGUCGUAGGUGAUCUGUAUGUUUUAGAGUUUUACAUCAUGGUGUGUUGAUGAUCUUCUAUUUGCAUCUUUUAGAUCACAAGGUUUAUUUGAUAAGGUGACAAAAAGUGCAUCCAAACAUGGUGUUCUAGCCAUUAUCUUCAUUGUUUUUAGAGUUUCACAUCAUAAUGUGUUGAAGCUGCAUGAUAUUUUUCAGUUCUCUGCUUAGUGCUGAGCCGCUUUGCCUGAAGGUUUUUCUGUUUUCCCAUUAGAAUGAAAACCAAUACGAGAACUAAUAGUCUAAUACAUCAUGUUAGAUCCGUUAAAAUCUGAUACGGUUUUGUUUGUAAUGGUCCACAAACCCAAAGACAAUGUAGAGACUAGAGUGAAAUGAGGACAGAAGAAUUUGAUGCAUUUCAAUUGAAGGAACUUGUGGAUUGACAUUGGUGCAAAAUACAUGCAACAAAAGUAAAACACCAAGGUAAACCAAAUUUGCUAGUGGAAUUGUGUGGUUUUCAAGGUAAGAAACUAUGAAACACUAGAACUAGAUCACCAUCGAAAAACUAGGAAACACUAGAUAAGAAAGACAGAAACAGCACUUUGAUCGCGCAUUGACGAGCUUUGAAUUUUAACAAAUGCACAAAAAGUAAUUAGCAUAUCACUGUAUAUCUCUAUAUAUUACAGAGCACAAAAUCCAUCCUAGAAGCCAGAGCCAUGACUAUUUCCACAUAAAUAUCCCAUAGCUAAGCCUUAUCAACCCGUUUUUUCUGAAGGUUUUAUCAAUCUUGGUGAAUUUCCUCAACAGGUGGAGGCGCAAAUCUCACGUUUGCUGGCCGUGCCACCACAACAGCCUCAUCUGCAAAUAGCGCUUUGAUAAAUGAAGGAGUUCUCAAGGGCCGACGACCAGUCAUUCGGGGGUAAACAUCUUCUAGAAAAUAAUAUGCAUGACCAGCAAUCAUUCCCUGAAUCAAAACCAACCAAUCAACAUGAAUAUCAAGGUCUAAAAAUGUAUAGAGUAACAAAAGCUAGUGUCUGGGAUAUUUUAUCCCAAUAACGUGAUCGUGAACUUGUGACAUGCCAACUGUUUUGCCGGUUUGAAAUCACAUACUCAAACAAUUUGUUAUCACCAACUUUUAUAAAAGUAAUAGAGCCAAUCCAAUUUAGCUGCUAUCAUGACUUGAUGGACACCAUCCACUAACUUAUUACAACUAUCAGUAACUAUAAGUCAAAAUGAAAUGAAAAUACAGCCUGGUAACUUAACGUCUGGGUUUGAGAGUUCUGCAAAAGGUUACGUUCAUUCCCUAGAGAUAUAUUGUGCAUAACUGGUCAGUUAGCAUCAUAAGCCAUUUACACAAGAUAUAUAUGCAACAAUACACAUACUAAGUGUUAGGGACAGCAAGACAGUAUUCCAGGUCGACUCUAUUAGAAGAUCCUAAAUUGAAAUGUCAAUACUAAUGGAAAUUCUUAAUAUAAAUAACAUACCAGGAGAUCCACCCAAGCGCUGGCCCCGACAAGGACAGAGAAGCCUAGAAGAAACUGGAACAAUUAUGAAAAACAUUAGACUUGUGAUUAAGGAGGAAAUGAUCAUGAUAUAUUAAAGCUACUUUACUAACACUUCCAAUGGAAAAACAGAAAUUAACAACACAAACAUGUGACACUUAAGUAUACUGACCCAUGGUAGGUAGGCUGCUGUGAAGUUAAAGAGUCCCAAGAAACUCAUGUGGAUGAAAGGGUUCUGCUUGCUCCACACAUAGACCUGUAAAGCAGGAAAGAAAAAUGGCUCACUACAAAGCAACCAACUUUUGGAAUCCAUCACAGUCGGAACUCAAAGAAAAAGCGACUAACCAUCAUGAAUGUCAGUGAGUUGCUGAGGAAUAUAAUCUUAGCAAACGACUCUGACAAAUAAGGUAUCAUUCCUCCAACCAAAACUAUCCCAGUCAACACAGAUGCACCGAACAAGAGCAUGUAAAAGAAAUCAGCUGUUCUCCCCCUGAAUGAGUUCUCUUCCAGAAGCUUGCAGUACCGAGCAAGGAAGAACAUGUGGAACAGAAAAUCCAAGUCUGCCACAUUGCCAAAACACCACCACGUUACGAAAACCAAACACACUAGCAACUAAAUACAAUACACAAACACUUCAAACACAAAUAGUAACAAUCACCUAUCUUCCGAAAGUACAAGAAAUUAGUGAUGAGUCGCCAUAGCUGAUACUGCUUCACCACUAGUAUAGGGUUCAAGUACAGAUUAUGAGGCGAGAUUAUCUGUAAACAUUCCACCAUUAACAACCAUAAGUCUCCAAGCUUCAACGAAAUUGCAUUAGUAAAUCAAAAAUUAAAGCUAACCCAAUACAAUUCAUCCCAUGAUUAACCAAACCCAGCUCCCAGAUUCUAACAAAUCUCAUUAUCUAAGCAAAUCAUCCUGAUUUAAAUUCAUGAAAUUCUAAAGCUGAAGCAAAACCCAAUUGAAAUCGAGCAAAACCCAAUUCAAUAAACCCAAAGAUAGAGCGAAAGAUUGAAGCUUUUGAUAUAUACAUACAUCGAGGGAGCAACCGAUGCUGGUGACGACAGCGGCGGUGAGAUACCACCUGGUGAUCACCGGCAUCUGCUUGUACCAUUCUUCAACUGCUUGCGCCAUAAUUGCGAUUCAGUUCGAAAGAUUCGGAGGUGAAUCGAAAACCUAAAAGGGUUUGGGAAUUUUGGGUUUGAGAAACAAGAAGAAGAAGACGGAGAAUUUGAAGAGAUGCCAAAACAAAGGUGAGACGCAUCACAGUUUUGCUUUGUUUCGUUCUGGGAUUCUAAUGGAGGAUGCAAAGUGACUACUGCUGGGCUAAUGAAAAGGCGAGUGGCGGGGACGCACCAAUAAGGUUGUUACGUCACUAUUGGACCGGUAGAUGGUGCUGCUUGCAGGCUACAUUUGGGCUCAUUGGCACAUGGGCUAGAUUUUUUUUUUGGGCUUGUGUUGAAUAUAGCAAAGUUUGAGUCUUUGAGAGGCCGAUGUGGCGUUGUAUAUCGGUUCAAAGACUCUCCGACCGAUGUUUAAGUCAGUUGAGUGAUGAUUUUAGUAGCUUAAGAAUAGAGAACCAUAUCUAUUUCAAAAAAAAUGAAAGAGAAAAAAGAAUAGAGAAACAUAUCUAACUAUUUUUCUUAAGUCCAUAAGUUUUAGGAUCAGAAGAUACCACUAUUAAUGUGGUUCGAAUCUCACUGGGGAAGUAACUAUACGAUAACUUUGUCAUGGAUUGUCUUUACACAAUUUAGUUUCAGAACAAUUACAAUACGUCUUUAGGUUACUGAAUAUUUUGAUCGGAGACUCGAUAAUUCGAGAUUAUCUCUAUCAAUGUGUGAGUCGGAUAAUACAAAACUCGAUAUAAUCGGUUAGUUUGGUUAUAAUAUUUCGAGUUUUCGAGUUUUAUACCAAAUUUAAAUUCAACCAAUUUUGAAACAUUUUAUUGAUUUUAAUGAUGAAAAAGACAAAAAGAAAAGCCGUUAGGGUCGUUUUCGUAAACUCCUCCCUCCGAUCGAGAGUGUUCGAAGCCUCUUCAUCUCUAUUGCCCGCUUCUAUCCCUCAUUUUCAAAUUCAAAAACCAAAACCUCUCUCUCUCUCUCUCUCGCCUCUCAUCAAAUGGACGCCGCCGAACCGCCGCCGUCACCGUCACCGUCGCCGUCACGUUACAAACCCCCCUCCACACUCUUCAAAGACAUCUCCAAUUUCAAAACCCCAAAACGCCCCUCCCGAAUCUCCGAAUUCCACUCCCCUUGCCCCCAAUUCUUCACCGCCGCCAAACAAACCCCCCGGACAAACUCGUCAUUUCGCCGCCGCCCUCCGCCGUCCUCCGCCCGCACCAACGCCGUCCGCAAACUCAAGGCCGUGGAGCUCGAGCAGUCACAGUCCUCGCGCAAGGUCCAAAUCCGGAAGGAGCAGUCUCUGAAGUCUCUCGAGAAAUCUCUCACCGUCUGGCUCAAUUUCCUCUUCGAAAACCCUAGAUCCUGCGGCUGUAACUUUCCGGUCGAUGAGGAUCACGGCCAAACGCUCCGGAAGGGGAAGAGGGACAGCGGCUCCGGCGUCCAGGUCCGGGUCGACGCGGCGUGGAGGGAUCCGAAGCGGCAGAGAGACUCGUCAUGGAGAGGUGAGGAUUCCGAAGGUGCGGUUGCGUUUUCGAUCUCCAAGUACUCGAAAUUGCAGAGUUCUUUGAAGCUUUUGUGUAGUUUCGAUGAUUUGAUUCUGCGAAUGCGGUUUCAUUUGAGCCUGGGGAGUUGCCAGGAGGUUUUCGACUCGAUGAUUCAAGUCGUCAAGGUUUGAAUUCUUGUGAUUUCGUGCUAGUUUUGUUACGCGUGGUUUCGAUUUUAGUUCAUUGACUUGUUAAAUUUGCUUUCUUGGCAUGCAAACUAGUGUUAAUGAGGAUCUCAUAGCCGAAAUUGAUUGUUUUGUUGCUUUUUCAGAAAGUUAUAAUGCUAGAAAAUGAUGUCCAUUUGCCAUUUUUAGCUUAGACAGUUGAGACAUGCAUCUUUUGUUGUUGUAUUUUGCAGAAUAUUGAUGAAGGGAGGUUAAAGAUGAAGGUGCAUUGCCCUUUAGUGACCGAUGUUGGACUGAGAAAGAAGGCCACUAAAGUUCUUUUGAGUUAUAACCCAAUCUGGCUUCGAAUUGGACUGUACAUUAUAUUCGGUGGCGAUUCUUUGUUGUCUGACCGAGAUGUUAACUCUGAUGAGGAAGUCGCGUUUUUGAAGAUGAUCAUUGAGAAGCAACUGUUUGCACACGCUGGUCUAGCAAAAGAGUAUGCUUAUAACAAAAAGGUUGAGGGUCUUUACCGACCGGGUUAUUAUGAAGCUUUGGGAAAUGUCAUAUUGAAGAGGUUUCUGUUGCUUGUUAUUAUCCUGGAUAGAGCUAAAUCUCAGAGCUGUCUUUCUCUUAAAUAUGGUCUUGAUGGAGUGGAUGGGGGUUCUCCUUUAUUGUUUACGGUACAGUCUAGUAUCAAAUCAAGUCAACAGGUGAUCCAUGGUAAUUUUCAAUCCACUCGUCUUCUAAGUUUUUGAGAAACUGGUUUAUAAUUGUGAUUUAGGGUUGACUUCUCUCUUUUUGUUGUUCAAAACUAGAUUUUCUCUCAUCUGAUAUCAUGCUUGGAGAAGGUAACGUCUCAGCGCAUCUGGUGAUUCUCGGAUAUAAAGUAUCUCAUCAGCAGGUUGGUGGUUAAUUCUAUGCAUGCAACUACAUUUGCAUUUGUUUGGUCUGAGGGAACUCAGAAUCCUUUAAGCUCUGAUGCCUCUUAACAAUCGAGGCUGAGACUGCAUGUCAACUUGGCAUUUAGCGUAAAGAUUAUCUUACCAAUUUAGGAAUUCAUUUAUGAAAUUUGUCAAUGUGCAGUCUCCGAUCGUGGAUUUUGACUUUCGAGUUACAGAUUUGUUUGCUGAUCUUCAAGAUGGGUUGCACCUCUGUAGAGCUAUUCAACUUUUGCAGGAUGACUCCUCUAUCUUAAUGGUUGUUAUCUGAUUCUUUAGUUUUUGAAUGAAUAUGCUUGUUCAGUUUAUAUUUAGUAAAGUAUUUUAUGGUAUUUAGUGAUUUCAAUGUUCCAUUGCAUGAACAGAAAAUGGUUGUUCCAUCAGAUACACAUAAAAAGCACCUGUCAAAUUGUGGCACUGCCCUGCAGUAUCUUAAGGAGGCUGGUGUUGUUUUACACGAUGAUGGAUUGAUGAUUGUGGAAGAUGAUAUUGCUAAUGGGGACAAGGAACUUACCAUUUCCUUGCUUUGGAAUAUGUUUGUUCAUUUGCAGGUUCCUUUGCUCUCUCUCUCUCUCUCUCUCUCUCUCUCUCUCUCUCUCUCUCUCCCUCUCCCUCUCUCUCUCCCAUUUUUUUUAAACUAUUGCAUUUGAAGCCUAAUUAGGAGUUUUUGUUCUAUACUAGUUAGUAACAGUCUUCACGUAAAUUUGACAGCUACCUCUUUUGGUCAAGAAAACAACAUUAGCUGAUGAAAUAUGCAAAAUCCGGGGAACUAUGGUACGCCUCCAUGCAUGAAAUCUUGUCUUGUUUUUUUGGGGUUGUUAUUAUCUUCUUUCCUUUUUAUUACUCUUUAUUUUGCAUUUAUUUCUCAUUUACAUGUUUUAGAGUUGGAAACUUGAAGUCACCCUUGACAUUGUUCAUUCCUUUUCAAAUUCACAGGAUAGCUUUAUGGAUGUUGAUUCUGCUCCACUGGAAAUGCUUUUAAGUUGGAUUCAGGUAUUACUGCUUUUGGGAUAGAUAUGUAGCAUAUUCUUAUCAAUGGCAUUGAAUAAAUUUGAAUUUGUUAAGAUGCAUGCAUGCUGCAUCAGAGUAGACAUGGAUUAUGAAUGCCGAUUUUGGGACUUUGGGGGUUACGGGAUGAUUGAGGGUCAUUUGGGGCAUCAUAGCUAGUCACAGCGGAAAAGAAUGAAUUGCACUGCUUUAAACUUGACAACGAUCAUUUUAUGGGAUUUUCAGGCCAUUUGUGAAAUUUAUGAUUGCAAGAUCGACAGUUUUUCUUCAUUGGUAGAUGGAAAAGCCGUAUGGUGCUUGCUGGAUUAUCACUUCCGUAAGCAACUUUGUUGUGCCUGGUCAUCGAAGGUGCUCUAUAUUUUUUCUUCGGUUUUUAUGAACAUAUAUUUCUUGUUUAAUUUUCUUCAUAGCUGUCUGAAUGUAUGUGACAGGAUCCUAAUAAAUCAAGUCAGGAAGAAUCAAUCAUGUUAGCCAGUGAAUAUUCAGAUGCCGUGCACAAUUUCUUAUUAUCACAGAAAUUGAUGUCGCUAUUGGGAAACUUUCCAGAGGUUUGUGCUAGUUUCUUUGCUUCAUUCUCAUUCAACCGUUUAACUUCCUGUCUAGCUUUUGACUUGCCACAUAUAAUUAUUUGCAUACUUGUAAGAAGAGUUCAAAAUAUUUUUGGAACUGAAGUUGAGAAUUGUAACAUAUAUCUUAUGUUUUGUAAGUUGUAACACACAAUCCUUCUUGAACAUUUAAACAGGUUCUGCAAAUAAGUGACAUUCUUGAGUAUAAUGGCGUCCCUAAUGAUCGUAGUGUGGUAAUCCUGUUGGCAUUCCUUUCAUCUCAACUGAUUGGGAAGAAAAACAUGGUAAUGCCUUAUACAUUUCUGUUUGAUGAUGCUUUAUUGCUAUUCGUUCCCUAUCCCCUGCCCCACUCUUCUAGCUCAGAGAAAUGAUAAUUAGAUGCUGUCAUAGUAUUCAUGCUUAACAUUGAUUAUCUCUUUUGCAGGAUCAGAUAAACUUUCAUAAACUAUUAGGCUGUGAUUGUCAAAGUUCAGAGCGAAUAUGCUCAGUAAGACCUGAACCAACACAGAUACAAGAAGAAACAUAUGUUCAGCAUACUGAAGGUAUCUUCUUCUCUUUUCUAUUUUUUCUUGUAGUUUCUGUUUUUAUAGGAUAGUGUGUCCAGAAUUUGUCCCUUUCCAUAUGUUACGUUAAGGAAAUACUCUAAACAUAACGUCUGUAAAGGUUAGUGGUACGGCAAUCAUACACAUGUCCAGACGUGUAUGACAUGAAUGAGAAAUAUUAAUCUUUGAAUUUUUUUUGAGUGGUGACUUGUUUAGAGCUAUCUAAAGACAGUCUUCCAAUAAGUGAUAGAGCUAGCUAGAAAUUUUAUUCGUUUGUUGAAAUGUAACCUAAUGGUUGUAUCCAUAUACAGGUUCUGUAAGAAACUUUAAGGCUAUCCAGGCUUGGUGGCAAGAUAUGGCUGAAAAGAACCGUAAACUUCCAAAACCAUCAGCUCCUACUUUACAAAACUUCUCUACAAACAAAGAUGAAAUUAACAUUUCAAGAGGUAAUUACUAAUACCAGAGACCUUUUUUUGCAAUGAUACAGUAAUCAUCUUCAUAUUGUGGUUUCUUCUUAUUAGCUCCCAUAUAGAAAGGAACAUUCUUCUUUAUAUUCUAUUAUAUAUAUAGCGUUUUUUCUUUAUUUUUUAGUAGUUUAGAUUAUUACUCCUGUGGUUAAGUUUCAUAACUUAACAACUUAACCUUUUGACUUCACAAUAUCACGGAGGCAUGAUAUUUUUUUUUUGUUUGGUCUUUCAUUCCCCCAGUUUUCUGAGACCAGACUCAAUAAUUAUUCAUCCUUUACCUAUUUUCCUGUCUUUUCUAUUAGGUGAAAAUAGUACUGGAAAUACGCAAUUUUCUAUUAUUGUUUUACAUAUGACCUAAAAUCUAUAAGUUUUGUAUCGGUAUGUCAUAUUCUCUAUUUGACUGAGGAAUUCAUAUCUUAUACUCCCAGUAAAUGCUGCAAAAAGGAUACGGUCAGUGUUACUAAUCCAACAAGCUGUAAGAAAUUGGAUGAUGCGAAGACGUCAGGAUAGAAGUAUGCUGACUCAUGAUGCACACAGACAUCAGGAUAGAAGUAUGCUGACUCAUGAUGCACACAUUCAUGAUCUAGUAAAUGCUGCUAUUGUUGUCCAAAGAUAUACUCGUGGGUGGCUUGCAAGAUCAAGAUGCAUUCAUGGAGGCCCUCUGAUUCAUAAAUCGUUAAGUAUGUUUCAGGAAAAUGGUGCAAAAAGGAUACCGUCAGUAUUACUUAUCCAACAAGCUGCAAGAAAUUGGAUCAUGCGAAGACAUCAGGAUAGAAGUAUGAUAACUCAUGAUGCACGUAUCCACGAUCAAGUAAAUGCAGCUAUUGUUGUUCAAAGAUAUACUCGUGGGUGGCUUGGAAGAUCAAGAUGUAAUCUAGGGGGCCCUCUCAUUCAUAAAUCCUCAAGUAUGUUUCAGGAAAAUGGUGCACUAGAUGUUCGAACAUGGGCAGCAGUUAAAAUCCAACUUGCUUGGAAUUAUUAUGUCUGUCACACUCUUCACAAAAAGCACUUUGCUGCUAUUAAAAUACAAAGUCAUUUUUGUAGUUGGCUAUUGAGAAGGAGGUUUCACAUUCAAAGGCAAGCAACAAUAAAAGUCCAAAGUGCUUUGCGUAUGUUAAAAUGUUGGAAGGCUUAUCAGCAAUACAAAGUUGCAACUAAAUCAGCCACUACCAUUCAAUCUUAUGUACGUGGAUGGGCUGCCCGAAGAGAAGCUAACAUACGUAGGCAUCUCAUCGUUACUAUCCAAGUAAGUUGUUCUCUGUGUCUUUUGAGCAUAUAGGACUGAGGGUGACAAUAUCUCUCCCUGAGUUAUUACCACUGCCAAACAAAUGAGAGAGAGAGAAGCUAAAUUUUAUUUGCUAUGUUCACUAGGGGAAUCUUCUACCUGCAACAUAUUUAGUCCCCUGAGAUAAUCUUCUGUGGAAAUGUGAUUAACUUUUAAAAAAAAAAAAAAAAAAAUUUAAUGGUGUAAAUAUCAUAUCUGAGUUGGGUGCUUAAAUGAAUUCAGAGAUACUGCCAUGGUUGGUUGAGAAGGAGGCAUUUCUUACAUCAAAGAAAAGCUGUAGUGAAGAUCCAAAGCACUAUUCGGUGCCUGCUAUACCGUCAGGCAUUCCAAUGUCUUAGACAUGCUGCAGUGGAAAUUCAACGGAUAGUCAGGGGGGAAAUUUGUCGAAGUAAUCUCUUAGGUAUAUUAGUGCAGUUCUUUUCAAUGGUUCUUACAAAUGUAGUUUAUCAAAUUCUACAUUUGAUAGUUGAGGGGUUUGGUUUGUUUCAAUUCCAUUGUAGUUAUGGUUGUUUAUGGCUUUUGUUUCAGGUUCUUCGUGUCUACACCCUGUCAUCCCCCACGGUUGUCUUUCAAAGACCACGAGUGCCUUUUAUAGUAGUUUCGAACUAAAUAUAGUGUUUUGCUCUGUGUUGAAAUUGCAAAGGUGGUGGAGGAGUGUCCUAUCUUUAAAACUAAGAACAAAGUCUGCAGUACUUAUUCAGUCUCGUAUUCGAGAAUGGUUAGCCAGGCAAAAGGCUUCUAGAGAGAAGCAUUGUAGUGUUGUGAUACAAGUAAGAUACUAUAAAUAUGUUGCACCUUAUAUGUUGAACCUUUACUGUUUCUUCGUGUUCAUAAUUUUUAUUUAUUUUGUUUCAGUCACACUGGAGAGGUUACCAGGCACGAAAAAAAGAGUCAAGGGAACAGCUCAAGGAUAUACGCUUGAGAGUGCAGAAGUCUUCUACUAGUGUGGACGAUAGCAUGCGUAUUAUCAACAGACUUGUUGCUGCACUUUCAGAACUACUAAGAAUGAAAAGUCUCAGCAACAUUCUUCAUACUUGUGCCACUUUGGGUAAGUAUUAAUGAUUGUACAUAGAACUCCAUUUCAUAAUCUUAAUCACGUGUGUGUAUGUAUAUAUAUGUGAUGCAACAACCUCAUAUGUGGUUUUACAACUUUCUGCCUUGUACUAGGAGUUGCAAUAUUUUAUUUCUUUUAUCUUCCUGCAAAUGAAGUAAGCAUUCUUUAUGCAGGUAGUUUAGUGCCUUUACUGAAAAGUCAAACCAUGCUUCAGAAAAUAGUUUUAAACCAUACACGCAUUUGGGAAAGCCCCCCAAAUCCUUAAAUGGUUUAGUGUCAUUGAUGCUCUCAUUGAUAGGUUACAUUCAGUUAACUGAUACAGAAUCAGGGAUGUUAACCAUUGUUCUGUUUCUAUGUACUUACAUUAUGAUUGUACUUAUAGAUAUGGCUACAAGGUAUUCUCAGAAAUGUUGUGAAAGACUCGUGGAUGCUGGAGCUAUCAAGACCUUGCUGAAGCUUAUUCACUCAGGCAGCCGAAGCAUACCUGAUCAGGAGGUUCUAAAGCAUGCACUGUCAACUCUAAGAAACCUUGCUCGCUAUCCACACUUGGUUGAAGUACUAACUGACUGUGAGGGGUCUGUAGAAACUAUUCUUUGGGAGUUGCUAAGGUUUGUAUGCCAUUUAUCCCAAAAUUCAAUGUGAGGGACUUCUUCACAUCUCUGAAUUAACGGCCAAUGUGUUAUAUGCUCAGGAACAAGGAGGAAGGUUACUUCAUUGCAUCUGAACUUUUGAAGAAGAUAUGUUCUAGUCCUAAAGGUGCUGAAGCUGUACGCAAGUCACCUGCCCAUUUAAAGAGACUGCGCAGUCUUGUGGAGGAACUAAGUAGGAAAUCAUGCAAUGAGAAGAGGUCAGAUACAUCAAAGACUCUCUUUUCUCCUUUUCACUUGUUCUUAUUCUCAAAAAUAGAGACGUUACUCAUAUGAUCUGUUUCAUUAUCCGCUAAGGUUAGCAUAAUCACCACUAUCUGAAAUUCUCAAUGCAGGAAUGCUCGACUCGCAAAUGCUCGAGAGAAUACAGAGAGGAGACUGAAGGAGGCUACUGUGAUUCUGAAAAUGGCAACAGAAAACUAGCCUCUGAACUUGCAGCAUUGUCUAACAACCUUGUUUAGCCUAGCUAGGUUUGUUUGUUUGUGUUUUUGCCAUUGAAUUUACAAGUUCAAUGGGAAGGACAAGGAUUCUGAAUGACAUUUACGGAUGGUAAAAAGCUGCAGUGAUGACUAAUGACUAGGCAGUAAUUAGUAACUGGUUAAUGGAGGAAGUAGUGAAAUGAACUGGUGCGGAUUGCCGAUCUUUUUUCAUGCUUGUCUAUUUCACUCUCUAUCACAUGACUUGGUUGAAUUGGUAAAGCGAAAACGACACUGAUCUGUUUCCGGUCCUCAUGUGACUGCUGCCCACAAUUUAUCUUCUUGAUUUCAGAAAAAAAUAUCUAGCACAAUUAUUGAAGAACCAAACCACAUGAAUGGUCAUUUCUCACAUCUCGUGGAUUUUGCACAAGUUGCUAAAAUCUGGAAUCCCGGAUAAGAUAUUUUUGUUUUGGUGAAAUCCACAUUUCCCAAAUUAUAAUCUAUACUUCUACUUUUUAUUUUUGAUAACUUAAAUUUUGUGCUUAGUGACUUAACUUUUGUCUUUUUAUGCAAAUGAUAACUAAAAAUAAAAAAUAAGAGUGUGGAUUACAAUUUAAGAAGUGUGGAUUUCACAUCCCUUAAAAAUAUUAAGAGAGAAAAAACCCAAAAUGGUAUCUGAACUAGUACCGAGAAUGUUGUUGCAAACUAUAGCUAAAUCCGAGACUUAAAAUAAUAUUGACAGAUAUUUUAGUUGCUUCAUAGACAUUCAAAAUUUCUUCGUUGUUUCAGAGAUGUUUAAAAUUUAGAUGUUCAAUUAUAGAAUGGAAGAUUGUCGAAGAAGAGUAAAAAAAUGGAAGAAGUAUCAGAAUAUCAGAUAAUGCAGUCCCUAAUGAAUAAUAGGAGUUUUGAGAAAAAUAGCUUGGAACAUUUGUGCAUAAAGGAGUCCAACAAUUAAAUCUUAGCAUCUAAUUAAUCAUGAUAGGAAAUAGCUAGUUUGAAUCUUUGAGUUAUGAAAAUCAAGCAGCUCUUGCAAGAACUUCAAGCCUUUUUGGCAUGUCAGCUGGUUCAAUGAAGAAACUCCUCCUCAACAACCUUGGCACUGUGAUUGUCAAGAUUCCAUCUUCAUAUCCAGCUGAGAUUCUCUCGAUGUCGACUUGACUUGGAAGCCGAAACUUUCUCAUGAAGGUCCUCCUAGCCUCUGUGGAAGACUCAUCACCAUCACCAUCAUCAAGUCUGUGUGUUCUGAUUAUCAGGUAUAUUGAGUCCUCCACUUCCACCUUUAUCUCCUCCUUCCUCACACCUAUACACAAAGGUUCAUCCCAAGAGUAACAUAAGAACUAACACAUAAAAGAAAGAUAGAUUGAUCACAAGAAAUAAAAGAUGUUAAAUUCUUACCAGGGAGAUCAGCUGAGAAAAUGUGAGUUUCUGGGGUUUCAGUCCAGUGCACAUAGUUUUCUGGGGCUAAGUGAUAUGGAUAAACAAGAUGAGAGGGGAAGACAUACUGGUAAAGCUGAAAGUUUUGGUUUGGUAGCUCCAUGGCUUAUAAUAGAAGAGGAAGUAAAUUUGCAGGGUACAAGCUAAGGGCUGCAGUCCAAUAGUGGGGGAUAAUGAGGUACCUUAAUGGAAGGUUGGUUUGGCUUUUAUAGCUCAGAGUGGGACAAGUAGGGUUUAAGAAACUGAUUUGGGAAUUCAGACUUUGACAGCAAUACCCUUCUAUCUUGGGGGUUGAAUCACAGUUUCUAAAUUUUGUGGUUCUGAAAUGGCAUCUCUGCCAUGGGUUGGCACAAUUAGUAGGUGCAUGGUAGGCCUCAAGUUUCUGAGGAUGACUGAUGUGAAGAACUUUUAAGGAUGAAUUGCCAGAGCAACUAUAUCUAUAUAUGGUGUACCUAAUCAAGGGAUCAUGUAUUGAAUAAGCAGAUCUGGCUUAGAAUGUUGACCCCUUAUAUAGGUUGAAGCUAAUAAUUGCUCCUGGAGAUCAUAAGAAUGCUUUUCAUACAAGUAAAACCAGUACAUUAGUACAUCACUAUCUCUACAGCAAAUUUUGAUACAAGUAGGCAGAGAACAACUAAUCAAAAACCAUUAUGACAUGAAGAACAAAUAUAUAGAAUAAGAAUAAAUCACAAGUCUAGCAGAAUCUUAGUUUACAAUUGAAUUGACAAAACAAAAAAUGCUAAAUAGAUAAGCUUCAUAAUGGAGAUAGGCAUUAUUUACCCCAUAUUCCUCAGUAGCAGAUAUUGCCAAUUUGCCAUCACCAGAAAGUCAUAGGAGUACUAAGCACAAUGAUCAGAAAAAGGUCGAACUUGAGUCUUCAAAUUUCGUGGCAGCACCCAACUCAUGUAUUUACCCCGAGCACAAAACCAUUGCUGUAACAAGGUAGAUUGCUAGAAGGCCCCUGAUGUUUCACUGGCGAGCGGAAAGGGUUUGGUGUCACAGGAUGUGUGAUAUGGAGUCCAGCACUUCGUAGAACCUGUUUAGCGUAAUUACAAGAUAUUUCACAUUGGUCUGUGAAGAAGGCUGGUACGCCCAUGGACUUGAUUAAGUUAAGAGCUCCACCCCAACUUGAAUAGUCCUCCAAUCCACAGUUCAGUGCAACGAUAGCAUGGGGUGAAGGGAGGUAGGUGGCUUCCUCCUGAUAAACACCCCUAAUGAGAUUCACUCUCACCCUGCUGCCUAUUCCUGAAGUUGUCCCUGACAUAUUUGUUGGAACUUCAGGACCAACCAUUACAAUUUGUAUAUUACCCAAUCCAUUGAGCAUAUGACCAACUUCGGCAAAUGCUGGCAUCCAAUCCAACUCUCCCUCUGGCCCUAUGUAGUGCACAAUCACCUCUUUUCCUUUCAGUAGCCAGUUCUUUGAACUGAUGUUGAGCGUCGUCAAUAUGUAAUAUACUGUCAAUGGGUGGGAGAGGAUGUCAGCAACCGGGCUUGACAAUGGCAGUGACCGAAGAUUAUAGUACUCAGACCAACCGGAGAGGAGGAUCGGACUUGACAUAUGAUGAUGAAAAGAUGAAUCACGUGGAAACUCUUCAUCAUCAAGACCUCCCCAAGAAUCCCAGAGUCCACCUUUAACAGGAAGAAGACCAAAAGGGCAGUGAGAAUAGCAACUGCACUUUCUCCUCCACAUGCCCUUUUGAUGGAUGCCCAAUGAUUCAAGCCAUUUACAAGGAUGGUCUGCAGCAGAUGGAAACAUGAAGAUAUUCAUUGCCAGCUCUUCUUCCCUUUCCAUCAUUGCCUUGUAAAGACCACACAUGGUCUUAUGUGUUUCCUUCAAAUGCUGCUUUUGGCAGACAGAACUGCAGUAGAUCACAGCACGACACCGUCCACAACAAAGAGUCUGAUCACUAUGGAUUUCUUUCUCGCAUGCUGCACACUGCCUUAUGCUGCCAUUUGAAUACACUCUUAAAUCAAGAAAAGUCUCCUCCUUUAAUGGUUCUGCAUACUUUGUUGGGGUUGAGGACCUUGAGGUAGCCGUCGAACUAGCCUUUUCCUCAUAUGCCUGGCCAGGUGGGUGUGAGAUUGUAACCGCAACAAGAUCAAAACCAUUGGACAUUUCUGGCGGCCACUGGACAUCAACUGUCUCGAUAAAUGGUUCAUAGUACAUCAACCUUGACCACUUUGGACCUCCUUCUUUGUCUGCCUGCAGCAACGGGUGCACGAGAGCUAUGGCCUGCAUGAAUGCAUACACAAACUUAAGCUCUUCAAGAGUUGCAUUCCUGAACUUAAGAGUUCCUGACGAAGUGCAGCGAACAACAUCAACAACAGGGAAGCGAUCAUUCCCCGAAACUUCCAGUGAUAGAGUCUUGAUCAUUUUCCGAUUUGAAGGAAACAUCACUGAGUCACGUUCAAACGUGACCCUCAACAGCUCCACAUUUGGAACCUCUAUUGUUUCCCUUGAGCCUGUCAUCCUCUUAGCAUCAUUCUGCGACCGAAACAUGUGAAAUCCAAUAUCCCCUCCAUCCCCUCCAAUAAACUGAACACAUGGGAAAAGCUGUUUCUUUCCAGACCAAUCCGUAUCCUUCCCAACCCGGACACCAAACAGAUGCGCCGGACACAAUCUUUUCCACGGAUCAGUCCUAUAUAGAGCUGCUGCAGCUCUAAACAUGGACUUAAUAAUAUUUGGAGCAAUGCCUUCCACAUUCAUAAGGCAUGUCCCGGAUCCGGGACCAAGCCCUGGACCGGUCCCGAAUUGCUCCUGGAACCUAUCAAACAAGUUCUUCAAAUGCAAAUCCAUUUACACCCCAAUACAAGAUCCAACUCAAUUCCUUGAUAAACACCAGAAACCCACUACAGAAUCCGAAUCCAAGAACUCUACUUCACCAUGAAUUUCUCAAAAUGUAAGAAUCUACACCCCACAAAUUAUAUUCAUCCACUCUCAAUUGCUUCCCAACUCAAAAACACAGAAAGCUCUAAGCUUUACUAGACAGACAGUUCAAUCAUAACAACAAAGCAACAGUCUUUUUCAAACCCAGUAGAAAAAGAAGCACCAGUUCAUAUCACUUCAAGACCAAACUAGAUCAAAUACACGAUGCACUUAAUGAACAUAAAGGUCAGUACUCCAUACCAGUUUUGGAAGCUUGACUACAGAGACCAGAGUGAGAUCCCCAACGCUGGUUUUGCUGCAACUCAAAACCAAGCUCUUAAGUCGCACGCCGUAAGAAAUUUGGGCUUUUGUGAUUUUUUUAAGGUGGACCCACAACCUGCCUAGGCCCAACCCAAUAAUUAACCUCCUAGCCAGCCCAAAUGUCCUCCUAUGCCGCUGAAAGUCAACGGCUCAACGCGAAAUCAUAAAUUGGGCCCUUACGAGUUCUUAAAAGGUGGGACCCACUACUUUCAUGGGCCCAACCCAACACGCAAUCGCCUAGCCAGCCCAAAUGUCCGCCUAGCCCGCUGAAAGUCAACAGCUCAACACGAAGAAUAUGUUUCGGUAUUUUCAUGUGGGUGUUUGGUAUAUAUAGAAAAUUAAAUGAUGGAAUCAAGUAUAUUAAUUCCUAUUGUAAUGUUUGGUAAGUCGGUAUAAUGAAAUACAAAAUUUUGUUUUUCAAUAAUGCCCCUUUAUAAUUUCUAAAUACGUACAACAUUAAAAUUUAUUAGAGAAUAAUUUAUGUACUUGUGGUUUUGACAGUAGGAAUGAAAUUGGAAUACCACCCUUGAUAAAAUAAUUGAAUUCAGGUUUUAUGAGCGAGUCAAUUUCCAGUUAGAUCUCUUUUUUUUGUUUCAUUUCCUAUCUCUAUGUACAACCAAUCAACCCAUUGGAAUGGAAAACCAAAUUAAUUUUUUCCCAUACCAUGGUUUCCUGCCAUCCAAACAGGGCUUUGAGUUUGUAAAAGGUGGGACCCACAACCUUCCGGGGCCCAACCCAACAAGAAACCCCCUAGACAGCCCAAAUGUCCGCCUGGCCCGCUCAAGGCCCAAAACCAGUCCAAAUUUGACACGAAACCCGAUUACGUGCCUUGUUUCCAAAAUCCCUAAUCUUUAAAAUCUCUCUGUUCUCACUCGCCACAUUCUUCAUCUUCUCUCUCUCCUUAUUAGGGUUUUCUUUCUCUCUCUCUCGAACCCUAGAUUCGCCGUCGUCGUCAUCAUGAUGCAACCAGGCUCCGGCGUGGCUCCGUCGGCAAUGGUCCAGCAGUACGGCCAGCAGCAGCAGCAGCCGCCCCCCGCCGCUGCCCAGCCCUACAUGAUGAUGCCGCCGCCGCUCCCCACCGUGCAGCCUCCUCCGGCGAUGUGGGCCCCUCAGUCGCACGUGGCCCCACCUCCACCUCAGGCCCAGCCCGCCAGCGCCGACGAGGUCCGCACUCUCUGGAUCGGCGACUUGCAGUACUGGAUGGAAGAGACCUAUCUUUUCAAUAUCUUCGCCAGCACCGGCGAGGUUUGAUUCUUCUUCUUCUUCUUUUGCGUCAAUUUCGGUCAAAGAUUCAAUUUUUAUGUGCUUGUUUAGAUCUGUGGUGGUUUUGCUUUGUAAUGUUGAACCUAAAGCUGUAAUUUUUAUGGUUCGAGGUUUAGGAAUUGGUGUUUGUAUUUGCUAUAUGAGCUGGGUUUGUUGAUUUGUUGAUGUUUCGGAGUGUCGUGGGUUCGAUUCUGUGGUUGGGAUGACAAUGAAUUGGUGAUGAGUUGUGUCGAAACGUUUGAAGAUAUGCAGUAGAGUGUAAUGUAUUAUACUUCAGCAAGUUUGUAAUCCGAAUUGUGUUUGAAUUGCCGUUCUUUUUUCUUGAUUUUUCUCGUUGUGUGUAUUGACUAGAAUGUUUAUCAAGUGUCAUUUGUGUUGGUUUGAUCUAUGGAAGUAUUGUGUUUGGUAUUUAUAUUUAUAAAUGGUUAGUUAGUUAAGUGUUUGUGUUAUGUGCUUUUUCAGGUUGUUAAUGUGAAAGUUAUCCGCAAUAAGCAAACUAACCAAUCCGAGGGCUACGGGUUUAUUGAGUUUGUUAAUAGAGCUGCGGCAGAAAGAGUGCUUCAGACUUACAAUGGUACCCCUAUGCCAAAUUGUGGCCAGCCUUUCAGAUUGAACUGGGCAUCUGCAGGGGAGAAGCGUUCUGAUGAUACGCCUGAUUAUACAAUAUUUGUUGGGGACUUGGCUGUGGAUGUGACAGAUUAUAUGCUACAAGAGAUAUUUAAGACCCGUUAUCCAUCUUGCAAGGGAGCUAAGGUUGUUAUUGACAGACUUACUGGCCGCACCAAGGGAUAUGGGUUUGUUAAGUUUGGAGAUGAGAGUGAACAGUUGCGUGCAAUGACUGAGAUGAAUGGAGUUGUUUGCUCUUCAAGAGCUAUGCGAAUUGGGCCAGCUGCAAACAAAAAUGCUGGGGGCAAUCAGCAAUAUUCAAAAGGUAUGUAUGAUAUAGUUGUGGUGUUUUUAAAUUCAUUGCCGUGGUUGUCUGCAAAGUGCCAACUUCUUGUUUGUUGCUUCUUUCUCUUCCCUGCUUUCUUUCGUCUUUUGUUUCUAACUUUUCCCCCAUUAUGCACUUAUAAUUCGGUCAUGUCAUGGUUGCAUGUUCCUUUCUUGUAUGAUAUCCAGGGUCCCAAACAUUACUUUUUAGUUAUCCAAGGCUUCUUCCUUUCAGCUAGAGAUGAGAAGUAAUUUUCAAGACAUGUAUUUCCUUUAAUUUCUCUAGAAAAUCUGGCAACGUAAAUGAUAAUAAAAACUUGAGAACUUAUAGAACUCCUGUUGUCUCAAAGCAGGGGGUCAAGAGGCUAUGCCAUCUAAGGGCGUGCCACUGAUUACAGCUGAAAGUGUUACCCCUUAAGUGCGUGGCCUCACUUAGGUCAGUUUCACAUUUAAUGUAUUGGCCUUUAUUCUCAUGUGGCAUAUGCUAUGCUACAUUAUGGAUUUUUUAGUUGGUUGAACUUUCUUGUGAAGUUACGCUGUGUCCUGUUCUUGUUCCACCUUAGAUUAAAUAAAAUUGCCUGUUGUCAAGGUGACUGAGUUUACUUUUUUUUUCUUUUUUUUUCCUUACGCACAGAUCCAGGCUGUCUUUAUUAUACCCCCUGUUGUUAUGUUAUGAGUGCAUGGUUGAAGCAUCUUGCCUGGAAUUGUAUUUGUAGGCUGGUUUUCAUGUCUUGAUAUUUUUACUUUGUACUGGUAUUGCACUAGGUUUUACCCAGUUAUCUAAACUGGGUUAGACUGGAUUCCUAGAACCAAUUUGUAUGCUUUAUCUUGUUGUUCAUUAAGCCCACACUGUAUCUUCUUGUGAAGUAAUUUUAUCUGGAACUGAAGCCUUGUCCUUCAUGAUAUUUUGUUGCCACAUAUCCGCCGCAUACAUGCAUGUUUCAUAUCCAGACUCUAAAAUACUUUUGCUCCUCAAGUACUCCUAAGCAGUACAGUGUGGAUUAGUUUGAAGCAUUAUCAACUUGUUCGAAUGUGUGCCAUACUUGUUUGACUAUUGCAUAAGAUAUUUUGAGAGAACUGCUGGUCGCUUCAGAGGAUAUAUAACUUGUUUGUUUUAUUAAUAUGGUAGCAUCCAAGGGUAUCAGUUUGUUAUUUGAAAUUUACUUUUUUCAACAUGCAGCUUCAUAUCAGGGUUCUCCAGGUGCAAAGAAUGAGACCGAUCCCAAUAACACAACUGUGGGUACUUAAUUACUUUUUUCAGAAACUUCUCUUUCCGCAACAUUUUGUGACUCGAUGAUUUUUCUGCAGAUAUUUGUUGGGAAUCUGGAUGCUAAUGUUACCGAUGACCAUUUGAGGACAGUUUUUAGCCAGUAUGGUGAGCUAGUACAUGUUAAGAUACCAGCAGGAAAGCGAUGUGGGUUUGUUCAAUUUGCAGACAGGUAGGCUGAUUGGUUUGUCAACUCUAUUUUUUUUCCUGGUCUCGUGAUCUUGCCGGUGAUUUGUCUCUUUCAUAUGGUUUGGAUUUGAAUAUCAGACAAUCUGACUAUCCUGUUCUGUUUUCUUUUUAAUACAUUAGGAGUCGUGCUGAAGAGGCUUUGCAAGGAUUAAACAAUUCCCCAAUUGGUGGACAAAAUAUCCGACUUUCUUGGGGUCGCAGUCCUUCGAACAAGCAGCAGGUGCUUUUGCUUUAUCAUAGUAACUUAAUGGAAGUCGCAGACAUUACUGACCCUAACUGAUAUGUAUCUGAUUUUAUUUUUUUUUCCAGGCUCAGGCAGAUCCAAACCAAUGGAAUGCUGGCUAUUAUGGAUAUGCACCAACACCUGAGGGAUAUGGAUAUCCCCAAGUGUCCCAAGACCCUAACAUGUACUAUGGAGGCUACCCUGCUGGAUACGGGAAUUACCAGCAGCCGCAGCAGCAGCAACAGCAGCAGCAGCAGCAAGUGGGUUAUAGCUGAGUGUUGUGUUGAGCUUUUUCUGCCUUCAACUCUAGAGACUUGAAAUAAUAUUAAGAUAAUGGUUGAGAGGGAUAUUAUUCUCUGUUUUCUGAGAAGUACUUUAUCGGAAGUAAUCUUGUAUCACUAAGUUUUUAACAAUUCAAGGAAGCCUUCUCUGAUAUUUCUGCUUGGUAGUGUGGCUUGUUGGAAAAUGUGGUAUGCUUAGCAAUGUUUGAAUUCAAAUGUUUCAUUUAUAUCAAAGUCCUUCAGCUUUUUAUUUGUAGGAAGAUGCCCAUAUCUUCAUAACAACCCUAACUCAACUGUUGAGUGAAAUCAUGUAAAUCUAACGAUAAGUUGUUUGUUUUCAAGAGAACAAAAGCGUUAACAUGAAGAAAUCUCAAUUAUAGAGAAGCGUCCAAAGGCUCACAUUCGCUUUGGCAACACCAGCCAGUAAGACUGGUAUAUUAUCCUACUCACUUGGCCUUCCUCCUCUUAUUUAACUUCAACUUUUUCAACUUCCCCAUAGACAGAGAGCUCUUCAGAUCCAACUAUAUCCAAGGUGCUACGUUUUAAACCUCUAAAUGAGUCAUAAUGAGGUCUUCAAGUACAGGGCAGCGAGUACAAAGAAGAAAGACUUUCAAUUUCCAUGGGUUCAUCUUGCUUCAAUAUGAAGGACCUUGAGACUUGGGAGAUACUUGGAUCAUGUCAUCUCUAUGGUGUCAUAUCGACUUUUUUUUAUGUAGUUUUGACUUUUGAGGUUGUUGUUUCAAUUUCUUAGAUGUAGUUUGUAUUUAGUUUUCUAAUUAUGUUGCUUGUAUGGUCGGGGACGCUGCUGGAGUCCGUUGGGGUGGAGGCGCGCCCUCGCCGGCGUCGUACGGUGGGGAACGGAGGGACAUCCGCACUUUAAGGCCGGUGCGGACGUGCGCCUCUGAUCCGGCUAUAUAUAUAUAUAUACAUGAAUUCUCAGGUGCGGACGUCCGCACCAAAGUUUUGGUGUGGAUUUCCAUUUUUGCACCACUUUUCGAUCGAAUUUUCUCAUCUCCACCGUCUAGUAUCUAGAUAAUAUUGUGUAGAUCAUCUCUGCAAAAUUUCAGCUAAUUUGAUAAUCGUUAAGGCCCUCAAACUCGAAAAACAAAUGGACAGACUGAAUUUUGCCCGGUUGUGUUCAUACCAGAAAAACUCGAGUUUGAGGGCCUUAACGAUCACCAAAUUGGCUGAAAUUUUGCAGAGAUGAUCUACACAAUAUUAUCUAGAUACUAAACGGUGGAGAUGAGGAAAUUCGAUUGGAAAGUGGUGCAAAAAUGGAAAUCCGCACCGAAACCUUCGGUGCAGACGUCCGCAGCCAAGAAGGGCUGUGUAUAUAUAUAUACAUACAGAUUUUCUUAGGUGCGGAUAUCCGUAUUUAUUCUUACGGUGCGGAUUUCCACUUUACACUCACUUUUCAAUCGAAUUUUCACAUCUCCACCGUUUAGUCUUUAGAUACUAAUAUGUAGAUCAUCUCUGUAAAAUUUCAGCUAAUUUGGUUAUCAUUAAGACACUCAAAACUGCGUGUUAUAAACAUGAACGGUUCAAAUUCGACAUAAUUAUGUUUAUCAAGUGGUUGAAAAAAGAAAACACAAUUUAUAAUAAAUAGUCUUUUCUUAUUCCCGCGUCUCCCUGAGUUUCGGUGAUUCUCAAUUCUUCUUCUUCCCGGAUAAACAGAAUCUCACUCCCACAUUUUUAUUCCCCAAACAAAAACUCAAAAGAUAAUUCAAGGAAUUGGCUUCCUCAGUUCAUCGCCGCCCACUUGUAAGGAAUUUCAGUUUCAGUUUCAGUUUCGCUAAUCACUGUGUUUAAUCAUGGUAGUCGUAGGGUUUGAUCUGAGGAAACCAAAAGAUUCACCCUUUUGUUUUAUUUAUAUUAAUAAGAUGUGGGUAGGGUAAUUUAAGAUUGAAUCUUUCUGGGCUCCCUCUCUGUUGCCUCUUUGGCAUUUGCCUCCAAUGUGUUGAUUAUUUCUGUCGUAAUCUGUUUUAUUUGAGCUAAGAGAUUGUUACUACCCUCAAUAUGAAUUAUGCAAAGGGGGCAUGAGAGGGGGUAUCAGUGUAUCAUCCAUAAUUAUGGUUUCAUAUGGUUAGGAUUGUUGGACUUGCUCAUUUUGUGAGGCAAUUUGCUUUUAACAUGACUCAGUAGCUUUGUGGGAAAUGUGAUAAGGUUGUAUGAAAGUGGCUCUGGUAUGAGUUAUCGGUGUUUUAAUGUUUGGGAGGAAUGCAAAAGCUCUUUAUAAUUUUGGAACAUUAGUUGAUGGACCUAUAAUGGUCAGUUGUUGAGAUAGCUUCUCCCAGGAAGGUUUGAAUCUAAUGAAAUUCCAGGAGUGGGAGCUGGGAAAUAACUUGACUCAUAAAUUCCUAAUAUUUGGGUGGGAUUUGGGAGCAGUUAAAUUUUCGAUUGUACCCUAUAGGGAAGUUUCUGCUUCUAAUGUUUGUAUAGAUUGGGCAUAUUCUUAGUUUGUACUAGUUUACAGACCUGCUUACUUUUCUUUUCCCUUCUAAGAUCCUGGCGCAUAUUCAUGGCUAUCUUUCUUGUUGAUUACAAGUGAUAAUUCUAGCUCUUUUAAAUCUGGAUAUAUUCCAGUUGUUAUUAGGCUACCUUAUAAGUAGGAACCUUUUCCCUCUCUUCCUCUACAUUUCAUCCUCCGUUAAUGCAAAUAGUGACAUAAGUGUCAAGGGGUCUGAGUCUACUGCUCAAUCCUUCAUGGGUGAGAAGGACUGAGCAGUAUUGAGGUCUUUCUUCUGAUUAUCUAUUUAGUUUUUUUUUUAUUAUUUUGCCAUUAUCAUAUAUAAACAUGCAUUUGUACAGAAAUCAGUGAAGUUCUGUUGAUCCAUACAGAUCUAGAGGUGUCCUUAUGCAAGUUGGUCUGUGUUUGAACUUUUGGUUUUGUUUAUACCUAAAUCCUCGUAAUGUAUUUCUUGUUUGAUUUAGACCACUCCAAUGUGCAUGCCUGCCCUAAGAAGAGGGGAACUGAUUCAUCAAGUUAUGUUCACUGCUAUGUUCCCAAUUAUAAGGGUGAAAAUAGUUAAAGUAGAUACACUGUGGGAGCUCUGUUUUACUUGUCAACCUGUGGUCUCUUUUUCAACAAGCGUAUCUUAGUAAGAGAGGAACUGAUUCAUCAUUUUAUGUUCACUGCUAUGUUCAUAACUAAGGGUGAAAGUAGUUAAAAUUAGAUACACUGUGGGAGCUCCGUUUUACUUGCCAACGUGUGGUCUCUUUUUCAACAAGAUAAAACAAUGCCUGAUGGGCAUAUGUACUUUUAGAAAUCUUAUUGCAACUGUCCAUGAUUAGGCAUUUAUGUGGAAAUACCAGACUAUUCAGACUCAGAUAUCAUAGAGUGCAGCUCUUUAAAGCAGUGCAUUGACCAAUUAGCUUCAUUGUAGUCGUAUAACGUUUCUUUUCAGUCACUAUUUAUUCAUGCAGUAACCAAGACUACAACAUGAUUAAAAUCAUUUUCUUCCUUGCAGUGGAAAAUUUUGAGCACCAGGGUAUCAGGAGUAUGAAUCCAAAUCAAGGUGCAAGCUCGUUAUCUUCACCAGAUCUCCCUAUGAAGCGGAAACGUGGACGUCCACGUAAGGAUGAGAAUUUAGUUCAUGGAGAGAGCAUGCCUGCAAUACCAGGACCUGAUAGUCUGAAGAAAAACAAGCAGAGUGCGGGUACUAACGAUGAUGCUGAAGGUGAAAUGGUGGGUCGGGUGGUUUCUGGUGUUAUUGAAGGUUCAUUUGAUGCCGGCUAUCUUCUUAAUGUUAAGGUAGAAGACACCGACACUCAGCUGAGGGGUGUUGUAUUUCUACCGGGAAAGUUCACUCCAGUUACUGCAGCAAAUGAUGUUGCUCCAAAUGUUAAGAUGUGCAGAAGAAAAGAAGUUCCAAUACCAGCUGUGACCAUGCAAUCUCAUCUUUAUGGUUCUGCCCAGCCAUCAGAGCAAAGUAACAAGCAACCUGUUGAGGUGAAAAAGCAAAUACCUGCAGUUCCAGACCAAAUUCCACCCUGUAUUCCUCAGUGUGGCAUCACGGAGUCUCUUAGAAGUCAAUCUUUCUCUGGCAUCCCGGAGACUCUUAGAAGCCAAUGCAUCCAGAAGUCUUUUAGAAGUCAAUCUUUCUCUGGCAUCCCAGAGUCAUCCUCUUUUGUGACUCCUCCGGUUGAUAAUUUGCCAAAGAAUGAUGCCCCUACCUUGGGAGGUAAAGCCAUACCACAGCAACCUUUGGCGUCUGUACUUGAUGACCAAUCCACCCAUGUAACGACAAAGUCCGAGAAUGAUGAAGUUGUUGAACAGGAAAAAGUGUUGGUGGAAUUUGAACCGGCCACAACAAUAACAGAGCCAACUGGUGUAGAGGACAAUAAAGAAUCAAAAACAGAAAAAUUAUUGGAGGAAUCAUCUGAACCAAUUGGUGUUGUACCAAGCAUAGAAACAGUAAGUAAGGAUCCUCCAAUUCAACCUCAGGUUGUGGGUUCUGAAACCAGUGCAUUGGUUCAGGAUGAUGUAAAGAGCCUGGAUUUUGAACUCAACCAUACUCCUUUAUUUGCUGAAGCUGCUCCUGCAAUGGCUACCGUACCAAGUGUUGAAACUGUAUGCAAGGCUCCUCAUAUUCAACCUCAGACUGUGGAUACUGAAAAGAGUCAAUUGGUUGACGAUGAGGUAAAGAGUGUGAACGUUGAAAUAAAUCAAACUCCUGUAUUUGCUGAAUCGGCACCAGGCUCUGUCAUACUGGGAGCUGAGACUGUAUGUAAGGAUCCUCAAAUUCAACCUGAGGAUGUGGGUUCUGAAAAGAGUACAUUGGUUCAGGAUGUGGUAAAGAGCCUAGAUCUUGAAAUCAACCAAACUCCCCUAGUUGCAGAACCUGCAAUUGCUGCCAGUAAACCAGUUGAGAAUCUGAUGGAAGAAGAGGCUACACCGAAGCCGAGUCAGGUGUUAGGGGGAGAGACUGUUGCAUCUGUAGGAUCCAUUCCUUCAGCCAUGGGUGAACCUCCUUCUGGUGCUAUUGACAGUAUGGAAUGUGACAUUGCAGAUGCCAUUCCACCUGCACAAUCUUAGCACUACCAUAGCACUAAGCUGGUUAGGCCGGGUUUUUUCAGUUGGGUUACAAUUUAUGCUUCUCGGAUGAUGUUCAUGUUUUUUUUUGUUGUCUGAUGGUUAUGACUCCAGUUUCUUUUGGAGUGUUAUCUUGCAGACAAUUAUGAAGUUUGUUGUUUUUUUGCCCCGCUUCAUAUGAACUCUCAUGUUCUUUACAUCUAUUUUCUUUUCAAUAAGUAGCUCUGUUAAUUAAUGUUACUCAUAGAAUCAGCCUAGGUAUCUACAAGUUUCAUAUUGCUUCUCAAGUUCUCAUACAGAGAAGGGACUGGUGGGUAGCACCAAAGUAGUAUAUGGCUAUAUGCCAUUGCCAUACCUAUUUAGGAACUACUAGUUUUAAAAAAUUGUGGACGGGUGCGGGUACUGUUCAUCAGAGAACAGAAGAAGAAGAAGAAGAGAGAUCGCUCGAGAAAUAUCAGGUCUAACACCCAGGCCUAAUUCUUCCAAAGGUGUGCGGAGUAAGAGAAAGGGCAAAACCGAUGAAGGAAGCGACGAAAGAGAGGGAAGGAGAGCUUGAGAUCUGGAAAGUGAUGGAAGUGGCUGAAUCUCUUGAUAGAGAUGAUUCGGUGGAGUUUCGAGAGAGAUCGAGAGAGAGCGAGAAAAAGAAUUAGAAAACGGCGAGAUGCAGGCCCAAGCCCGACACUGUUCUAAAAAACAGUAAGGCGUCGUCAGACGGCAUAAUAAUAUAGUAAAUGUAAGUUGCGGCUGCCUGUCGUAAUAUCCAAAGUGAAAUACAACAAACUUCUUAAUCGUCGGCAACAUAGCUCCCCAAAACAAACCGGAGUGAUAAUAACCAUUCAAACAACUGAAAAUGUUUGACAUCAUUCUGAAAAAUUUGGAAAAUGUUUUAACAUUGGGCCAAGAACACAACGCGGGCACACCACAAGACCCACGAGCCCAAAAGCCCAAAACAAAAGGUCGGUCCGUGUCAGACACGAGCCAGCUAUACCAAUUGUAUGGCCACAAAAGUCUACGUAUUCCAUUUUCCAUCUUCAAUUUCCAUUACAAAAUCACACUCGUCUCCGAUUCCCAUCACCACACAGCACAGAGAGCACCAGCCAUGUCUUCUCUCUUAGCCAACAGCAUCUCCCUGUUCUCUCCCCAACCCACUCCCGACUCCCCCAAGUUCCCCAAACCCUUCUUCCUCCACCCCCACAACUUCCUCAACCUCCCAACCCACAAACCCUCCUUCUCCUCCUCGCAAAUCCUCAAAGUCCGCGCCGACGUCGAACCCACCCCUUCCCCCGAGUCCGCAGAGAAAUUUACUAUUGAGGAAUUCCUUCGCAACCGCGACUACGACACUAAAUUCGGCUUCAAUAUAGAAAUCGACUCCACCUCGAUCCCUAAGGGGCUCUCUAAAGAAACAGUACGCCUGAUUUCCCAAAUCAAACAGGAGCCCGCCUGGAUGCUCGAGUUCCGCCUGCAAGCGUACGAGAAGUUUAUCGCCAUGAAGGAGCCGAAUUGGUCCGAUAACCGCUAUCCGAAGGUGGAUUUCCAGGACAUGUGUUAUUACUCCGCGCCGACGCAGAAGAAGACGUUAGGGAGCUUGGAUGAGGCCGACCCGGAGCUGCUGAAGUACUUCGAGAGGCUGGGGGUGCCGUUAAACGAGCAGAACAGGCUGGCGAAUGUGGCUGUGGACGCUGUGCUGGAUAGUGUUUCGAUUGCGACCACGCAUAGGAAGACUCUAGAGGAGGCUGGGGUGAUUUUUUGUUCUAUUUCGGAGGCGAUUAGGGAGUAUCCGGAUUUGGUUAGGGAGUAUUUGGGGAAGGUGGUGCCGGCCGGGGAUAAUUACUAUGCUGCUUUGAAUGCUGCUGUUUUCAGCGAUGGUUCGUUUUGUUAUGUACCCAAGGAUACUAAAUGUCCUAUGCAGAUUUCGACUUAUUUCAGGAUUAAUGCGCUGGAGACAGGGCAGUUCGAGAGGACUUUGAUUGUGGCGGAGGAUAGGAGCUUUGUGGAGUAUUUGGAGGGGUGUACGGCUCCUUCUUAUGACCGGAACCAGCUUCAUGCCGCGGUGGUGGAGCUGUAUUGUGCUGAAGGGGCGGAGAUUAAGUACUCCACGGUGCAGAAUUGGUAUGCUGGGGAUGAGGAAGGGAAGGGAGGGAUUUAUAAUUUCGUUACUAAAAGAGGGAGGUGCGCAGGGGCGAGGUCGAAGAUAUCUUGGACUCAGGUGGAGACCGGGUCUGCGAUUACUUGGAAGUAUCCGAGUGUUGUUCUGGAGGGUGAUGAUUCUGUGGGGGAGUUUUACUCGGUGGCUUUGACUAAUAACUAUCAGCAGGCAGACACUGGUACAAAGAUGAUACAUAAGGGGAAGAAUACAAGGAGUAGAAUCAUUUCAAAGGGGAUAUCAGCUGGGAAUUCAAGGAACUGUUAUCGGGGGCUUGUGCAGGUUUUUUCACAAGCAGAGAAUGCUCGAAACUCCUCACAGUGUGAUUCCAUGCUUAUCGGAGAUAAAGCUGCUGCCAACACCUAUCCAUACAUUGAGGUAAUUGUCUUUGAACUUGUCUCUUUUGGUUAUGGUGUUAUGAUGGUGAUGUUCUGUAGUGGUAGUGGUAUACAACUUUGCCUAUUGUGUGAUGAUUCUUCAUUGGAUGAUAUUAUUGCAUUACUCUAUGCUACUCUCCCAUGAUAUUGAAGCAUUUCUUCCAACAAAAAAUUUUGCUGUCCAAAAUCAUGAUUUUCACCUGAAAUUGUGUGUUAUAGCACACGAUUUUUUGGCCAAAAUCUCAUGUCCUCAAUUUCUCGCUAAAAUCUUCCCAUUGGUUUUUAAGCAAAAUUAGACUCGACAGACCUCAGAAGUCUCAACCCGAUUUUGUUUUACGAUUUUGAAAGUUGGAAAACCGUGAAAGUCAUAAAAAAGAAUCAAGUUGAGAAUUUUGAGUUCUGUCACUUGGAAGAGCUCCUAAAAAUCAUCAUAAUUGGGUUUAGCAUGUCCAUACCCUUGCCAAAUGUAUUUGGCUUGGAUAAUUUUGUUGAUUUGUUCUUAAAGAUGGAAGGCCUGAUGUUUUAUAUGUAGGUUGCUUGUUUCAGAUGCAAUCCACAUGGUUAACAAAAUAGUUAGCGUUUUUCAAUAAGGUUUAUACAGGUUCUAGCAAUUCGAAGUGAUUUGGUCUUUAUCUUAGUCUUCCCUUGAUCAUCUAGAGACUAGAGUGUUCACGGUCA